UACAUCACUAUCUUGCAUGUAUGCAUUAAACAAAUUACUUAUCUGUGCCCCCAAUAUUAGACAAAUAUAUAUUUUAAAUCCACAACAGAAACAUUAUCAAAUAUGUUAUAACAAAUGCAUAAAUCCACUAGAGUUCACUAUUUUAUAAACUGUAACAUAAGAAGUACUGUAACCAUCAAAACUGAAAAUCAAAGUCAUACAUACUACAAUAACAGAAAACAAACAAGGGUCUAUAUAAAGGAGUACUGAAAAAUGAACCUAAUAUGAGAUCUCCUAUAAGGCUAACAACAUAACUUCUGAAUCCAAAUACAAACCUUCCUCCCUACAUAUCAUCUAAUAGUUCUGUGCAUAAUCAAAGCUCAAAGGUUGACCAAAUGGAGCCUGCAAAGAAAAAUAAAGGUAUCUUAGCAGUUGCAUUAUUGAACAUCUAAAAUCAGAGAAUUUAAAAAGGAAGUGAAAAAACUAUUCCAUGCCGGGGAGGCAAAUUCAUACACAGAAAAAUUAAUCAUCCAUAAAGUGAUUCCUUUAAUUGGACAAGUUAUUCAACUUUGUUCAAAAAGAAAGUGUUGAUAGAAAGGGAAAAUAACAAUACAAGCCAAUUCUUUAUUAAAUGCAUAUGCUUCCCCUUACAGAUAACCACCAGAUCAUAUCAAAAAAUCACUAAUAUUUGUGAUUAGAAGAUAGUUAAAUAAAUAUUUCAAUUGUUUGUUUUAGUUAAAUAAAGCAAAGGUCUACUAGGGGAUCAUCGGGUGCCCUGUUUAGGGAGUACACGCCUUGUAGAGCGCUUGUUGUGUGAAAUAUUGGCGUUGAUGGUGGGAGUGAUAAAUCCAAUUUUCUGCAUCUUUGAAGCGCGCGCGGCAUGGCAAACAGUCAGUCAAAUAAGCAAGCCACAAUUGCCCUUAGAUAAGACUGUUUUGUCCUUUUCCGAUUUAAAUUCAUGUUGCCUCCUCUCUUCCUAGUGAUUCACCCAAAACAAAGACAUGGAGAGGACAACGCUAUUCUACUCUGCAUUCUAUAACUGCAAAGAUCAAAAGUCGCAUAAAAACUGUCUCUGCGACGGUGGAGGCAUUUUCUGGCAUGUUCAAGGUUCAGGUUCUCUACACUUUCUCGCUUGGUUUAUAGGUUCUUAACAUUGUUUUUGACAUUUGUGAAUGCCAAAGCAAAGACCAACCAACACCCAACCAAACAACAAUGACACACUGCUCUGAUAGUGAUUUUAAAGACUCACUUGUUUAUUUCAAAUGUUAUAUCUGGGCUAUGAUUUGAAUGUAAGCGAUAAAUUAUAAGGUAAAUUGUAUAAGUAUUGAGUAUGACUACUGUUUCAAUCAAAAUGGUCAACCCAAAACACACAGGUAAUUUAAAAAUUAUUAGAUUAUUGCAAGCAUGUCAUGUAUUUGCAGCUAAUAAUACAAGAAAUCACUCAGGCAAACUCGAACAUGGUAAAAAACAUUAAAGUGAAAUAAAUGUGGUUUACCUUGGUAAACAUACAUGUCUAAAUUGGUCAUAUGAAUGUGCAUACAUCAUUGUAGGACUUGGCACUGUAGGUAAGCACCAUCUCCAGAUUUUGGGUUCAAUCCUGGGGUACAAAAGGGCUCAUUAUCGGGGUUGAAGGAGGUCCAUAUCCAAGUGAAGCUGAGUUUGUGCCAUUUGACCCAACUGCAUUAAAAGUAAUGUCUACUGAGCAAAUGAAGCGUUGAGCUUCUUGGCAAAUAAAGCGGCACCAAAUUAACUGCGGGGGCUGAGAGACUCCUAGCAUACCUGAACCAAUAAUUAAUUCAAUCUAAUUAGUAAAGCCAACUAAUAUAUUUUAGACCCUAUUUGGAAAAACACAACUUAAAUAAGUGCUUAUGACAUAGGUGCCUAUCAUAUAAAAUGUUGAUGUAUAAACUAUUUCUAUAACAAAGGAUAAAAUAAAGUCAAACAGUUCCCAUACAAGUUAUAAGUUGCUUUCAAAGCAAUCGUGAAAGCUUAAUGGGUGUGUCAUAAGUUGUUCCCAUAUCUAUCCCUAUAAUGCACUGACACAAACACGCACACAAGAACACGACACUAACACAAUACACCGAUAACAAUUUAAGAAAAUGAAUUGAUUGAAUGCAACAUGUGUCACCGUCGUAUCUGACACCAAACACACCUUCAAUCACUUGCGUACAAGUAUAAGUUGUUUUCAAAGCAAUCAUGAGAGCUUGUGGGUGCUCAUAAGUUGUUUCCAUUAAGCUAUCCUAUAAUGCACCGACCAAACACGCACACAAGACACGGAUACUAACACCUCUACACUUGAUAAUAAUUAAAGAAAUGAAUUGAUUGAUGUACACUGUGUCUGUCGCUGUCUGACACCAGACACACAUUAAUCAAAAGUGUCAAGCUACUCAUAGAGCUCUCCUAAACAGUCUCAUAAGUAUCUGUGUCAAUAGAUAAUUCAAAUAAGUCAUCCCAACCAGCUUUUAAAGUUUAAAUCAGUACAAAUGCAUCGACUACAAGAUAACACAAAAAAAAAAGAAACAGAAGAUGUCUCUAAACAUUCCAUAGUAAGUUUUUAUAAUUAUAUAAUCAAGAGUUCCAUUUAAAUGCAAUCAAGAUAAAAUAACUUCAUCUUGGCUCUUCCUCGUUCUAUCUCUCACAUGAAAAGAUAGCUUUUUCUUUUUAUUUUCACUUAUACAAACACAAGACAGUGCAGCAACAAUUCAAAUGAAAAAAAAUGUUGCAACUGUAAUUAUGAUACUCUGUUUUCAGAAAGUUUGUUACGGUACAUAGAUAAAAAACUCACCUUCCAUAGCUACGAUUCAUAAUCUGGAUCAUUCGAUCCUUUUCCCUAUCUCUGAUAAUGGCAACUCGAGGAUAACCAUUAUCCCUCACACUAAAGGAAAACAUCAAGUAUGUAUAAUUAACCAUAUACUUCCAGUAAACAAGUUCAUUCAAACAAAACUUAAAGAUAGUUAUCCACACAUAGAUUCCUUUUGGGAAACAACUAUACCUUUCAUGUGAGGAUUUUUAUUGGUUGAUGUAUUAUCACAAAAAAAAUAAUUGUUGAGGAUAUUAGCUGAUAGAUAAGCUGAUUAUCCACAAUAAUCAGUAGCCCAAAAUAAGGUCAUUUUCACAAAUGACUCCAAAAAAACAAACUGAAACGAAAACACAAAAAUUAUUAAUACAUGUAAAAAACAUAGAUAUAAGUAAAUCAAAUGAAAAAUACAAAAACCACAACCAUCAUCAAGUAUGUGAUUGGAUGAACCAGCAACUGGUUCAUUUCCGUUUCCAACAGCAUCAGAUCCAUCACCAGAUGUUGAUCCACUAGUAGAGGACCACCAAAUUCUGCAUAAAAUUAAACAGAACCAAAUAAUUAAAUCAAAACCAAAGCCAUACAUUAAUACACUAAAUACUCAUACUCAAAUAUAUUACUAUACCUGAAACAAUAGUGGCGGAUAACUCAAAUUCUUCAUUUAUAUUCAAGUCCUUGAAUUGACUAAGUGUAGGUUUCAACCAGUCUUGUGCACAAAUCAAAGCCUCUGUUCAUUUCAGGGGUUAGUGAACUUCUAUAUGUGUCUAGAACUCUGCGCCCGUACUAAACGUGCUUUCAGAAGCGACAGUGGAUACUGGACUAGCUAAAACAUCCUUCACCAUUUUUGAUAAAAUAGGGUAUCUACAAGAGUUUUGUUUCACCCACAUAAGAUGUUCAAAGUUAAAAUCAUCGGCACAAUUAUCAUCUAGAUACCUCUCAAGAUCAUUUUUUUAUCUAUUAAAUCUUUUUGUUUAAGUGGCUCUUUAAAAGCUUCAACCCUUGCAAAUGAUAUGGAACUUCAACAUAGGACACCAUCACCAAAUGAACCACCCUCAUUAGGACUAGUAGAGGGUCCAUGUUCUUUUCAUGUAUAACCCUGUACCAAUUGAAUAGUUUAAACAACUCCUUUUUAUCACAUUAAUCUAUUAGUAAAAGGCACCGACUCGCCAUUAUACAUAUCAUUAAAACACCACUCUACAUAUCCUAACUUGUAUCUAGGGUCAAGAAUCACACCAAAAUAAAUAAACUUGUUGAGUUUUCAAUUUCCCCCAAUAUUUGCCAUACUUCUUCUUCAUUAAUAUCCCAUUGAGGCUAAAUUGUGUUCAAGUUCUGGAUGAUCUUUUAAGCUCACAAUGUACUGAAGCUAGUUGUGGAAUGACUUAUGAAGGAUACUUGUUUUGACGAAGAAAAUUCCAUAGUAGCAUCAUAGAAAAUUUGAAAAAACUUACUAGACACCUAACAUUCUCCCAAUCAUUAAGAGUAGGGGGCCAACUAAUCCAAAAAUUCAAAUAGCUAAAUCUUCACUUCCAUUUCUCAAAUGUUGCUUGAUACUUUUCAGCAGCAUCUAGCAUCAAAUAACAUGAGUUCCACCUUGGCGGAACAUCUAGACAGAGACGUUUCUUGCAAUUAUCUAGCAAACUCAAUACAUUCUUUGAACUUUGCAGAUCUUUGGGGUGAUGACCUAACAAAUCUAACAACAUUUCAAUGGCUGAAAUGGAUAAAUCAUUCUGUUUUAAACCACACGAACCACCAGAUUUAAAGUGUUGCACAACAACGAAGAUGAAAGAAAGAUCCAUCACUCAUUAAACCACCCAUAUUAUCAAUCUCUUCUUCAAUAAGCAACAACUACAUCAUUAGAUGUUGCGUUGUCCACAGUGAUUGUGGACACAUUCCUUAUUCCCCAUUCCUUAAAAUCUCUUCAACUUUUCUACCAAUUGUCUCACCCUUAUGAUUAAGAACUAAACAAAAACUUAGAAUCCUAUUUUCAUACUUCCAAUCAUUGUUAAUGAAGUGUGCAGUUAGGUCAUAUAACUAAGAUUCCGAAUGGAUGUCCAACAAUCAGUGGUUAAGGCUACCCUAUUGCAAUCAGAUUUGAAAUAACCUUUCAAUCUUGUUUUUCAUCAACAAAAAGUUGAAAACAAUCCCUCGCCACAGUUCUCCUUAAUGGAAUAGUUAAUUGGGGUUGUAAUUGUUUGCAUAACAACUUAAAGCCUUCCCCUUCAACUACCCUAAAAGCAUGUUCAUCUAGGAUCACAAGAGAGCAAUAGCCUUCUACAAGCUGCCAAAUUAAAUCGUUGGCUUGCGGCAACCAAUCCACACCCUCUCCACCGCAAAGGAGAGGGUAGUUUGAGUAGGAUCAUUUUGUGGCAUCUUGGUACAUAAUUUUGUAUGAGCAAGCAUGUUAGAUGUCCCAUGGGUUUUGGAUCACACAAAUAUUCUCUAUGACAGUGUUUGCAAGCAGCUACUGCUUCAAUUUCAUUAGGCAAUUUAAUAAAAUGGUCCCAAGCAGGAGAGGAUUUCCUAGGACCAUUAGCAUUUUGUUUUCUCUUCUUUCAAGUGGAGGAAGUCCAACAACAUGAAUUUCAUGGCAGCAACAUCAGUUGCACUAACACCAGAUGUUAAUGAAGAAGGUUGGUUUUGAGUAACAUUCUCCAUUACUGAAAAUUAAUGAAGAUUAUAAUCAACACACAACCACAUCAUCAACUCGUUAAGUGUUUAUAGGCUUAGUUUCAAAGUUUGUUACAUUUCCUUUCUCUAAUGAUACUUUUAUGUGGUGAAAUUUAUUGUUUAAUUAAGUAAACUUAUUAUAUUUUGUUUAUUGUUGUAUGCAUUUUCACUUAUGAUAACAAUAAUGACUUAAAGGACCUAUUACCUUAAACUUUUAAUAAGGUAGCAAACAAAAUAUUCAACAUGAUAUAUCGACAUAGGCAUACAAAACUACAUAAAAUAAACUAAACUUACUGUUAUAUGCGAAUUUCCAGUCCUUGUUCUCCUUGUAUUUCUCCAGCUCCUUGCAUUUCUACAGCCUCUUCCAUAUCUCGAUAAAGAUAAAACAAAUGGAGUUAUUAAAACAGUUAUAUAAAGAUUAAAGCUCUUAAAACAUAAACAACGAUCUAACCUUCCAUAACUCAAAGAACUCUUGAAAUUACAAAACCUGAAAAUACAAAAUCGGAAUCAAGAACAAGAAGACUUAGUGUUUAGAAAGCAAAUACGAACACAAAAGAACGUGAUUAAGAGGGAUAAGGAUACAAAUGAUUCUCUGCUUAGUGAUGAUGAAGGAGGAAAGGACGGUGAUGACGGCGGAGGAGAGACAUAAAUAGCGAUUUUGUUUUACUUUUGGAGAUGAAGCAAGGUGACGGCGCUAAAGCUUUAGGGUUCAGAGGGGUGGACGGCGCUAAAGCUUUAGGGUUCAAAGGGGCGCUAAAGCUUUGGAGGAGAACUCUGAUUUUGUUGGGCCAAAAUUCUACUGGGUGUCAUAAAAUUGGGCUGGGCAUAAGUUAGAUAAUUAAUAUACAAUCGGUCGGGCUCAGAUUUUAUUGGGCCAAAAAAACAAAACCGAACCCGACCACACACACCCCUCUGAACCCGUUUGCAACACCCGUCCAACCCGUCAAACCGAAUUAACCCGCCCCGAAAUAGAAUCCUGCAACCGGCUCGGUUGGUUAUUCUCGGGUGGUUUUUUCUUGUCCACCCUAAGUGACACUUAGGAUUUUAAUUGAUCUGACAAAAGUAAAGUUACAUGGCCUACGACAUGUUAUGAUAUACUCUGUUGUUUUAGAUUUAAUAUAUUAUAAUAGAUAAUAGAUAUGAACGUGCGUCUAUUUUUUAUAUAAUUUCUAUAUUUUUUAAAUUUUAUUUCCUUCCUCCCACACGAAGUGAUUCAUUUGUAAUAAUUUUUUUUUUAAAUGACUAAUCCAUUUUAAUUUACAAUGUAAUUAUUUUUUUUUCAAUUCUACCUUUAAUCAUUAUUAUUUUCACCACCUCUAAUAUUUGAUAAUGAGUAUUUUAAUAAAAACAUCAUUUUCUCUUUCGUUUAUUCAUUUUUUUUAAUAUGUGUAAAAUUGUCAAUUGACCGACUUAUUUUAGAACAAUAUUAUCACAUUUACUCUAUGUAAACUUAACUUAUAUUUAUAUUUAAUAAUAAUCUUUAUUGUAAUAGAAAAGAAAUAAUAAAUUAUGAAUUUCAAUUAAAGAAUAUAAAAUGAAAAUAAAAAUAAAAAUUGUAUUAAAAACUAAAAUUAAUAUUUAUUUUCGGAAAAAUAUUUUUUACAAAUAUAAUAUUUAUUUUAGAAUAUUGGGAGUAUUUUUUUUUCUUUCCUUCAACUCUACCAUCCUACUCUAUUGUUUUUUAUUAAUUAAUUUCAUAACAGAGAUUUCUUAAUAGAAAAAAAUUAUUUUUUAAAUUAUUAUUUCCCCCACUUUUAAAUUUUGCUUACCCAUUUCAACUAACAAACUAUUUAUUUUAGGAAUAUCCAAAAACAUAUAUAUUUUUUUUAAAUAGAGAAUUUAUGAUGAUUAUUGUGACUUCUUCUAAGAAUUUUUUGUAAAGAGAAAAAAUAUUUAAAUCCACAAAAUUAACCCUAUGUAUGAAAAUGUAAAAAAAUCAUCAUCACUUUGAGUUCAUUCAUUGAUUCUUCCCAAUCCCAUCUUCAAAAGUUUUGCUACCAUUGAUGAAUUGAUUUCAAAUCCCAAUUCUUCAAUGCUGUCUCAGUAAUCAAAUUCUACACUCUAAGCUAUGGAUAUGGCUUCCGUCUCUCUCACCUUCUCUUCUUCCAUAGUUCCCUCUCCAAUUCCCCAACCCAAAUGCAUCAAAACCCACACAAGACCUAAAGUUUCAACCUUUCGUAUUACCCGCUGCGCAAUUUCACCUCCACCCUCAAAAACCGCUUCCAAUUCCUCCCCGGUUGUCAAAAAGAAACACUGGAAACAAGGCGAGUUUCCUGGGUUUUCCCAAUCUGAAGGGAGAACGAGGAGGAGCCCAAUUAAGAAUCUCAAGAAAAAAUUCGACAGAAAGAACAAUGCUAAGGCGUGGGUUAACACUGUUACUGAAGCUUUAUCUGAACGCAUGGACAAGAAACAGUGGCUUCAAGCCCUUCAGGUACAUAGACUCGGUUUUGCUGUCAAAUUUCAGUAAUUUUGUAUGUUUGACUGUGGGUCAUGUUUGGAUAAACAGCUUAAUUAGAGCUUAUAAGUUAUAGCAUAAUCACUUAUCCGUAUAAGCUAUUUCUACUGUUAAAGAUGAAAUAAGGUGAAACUGUUUUCAUAACAUAUGUUGUUUUCAUAAGCUUAUGGACAUUGUCAUAAGCUUAUCGCAAAUGUUUAUGUCAAUAGAUAAACUCAAAUAAGUCAUUUUGUAUCUAAUAAGACUUCUAAUAAUUAGUAGUAUUGUUUGGAUGAUUGGUUUGAUUCUACUUUGUUAAAUUACUUGUUCAUUUGAGCAGGUAUUUGACAUGCUCAGAGAACAAUCUUUUUACCAGCCGAAAGAAGGGACUUACAUGAAACUCAUUGUGCUACUUGGAAGAUCAGGUCAACCCCACCGUGCCCGUCAGCUUUUUACUACAAUGAUUGAAGAGGGUUGCAGCCCUACUCCCGAACUAUACACGGCGUUGCUCGCUGCGUAUUGCAGGAGCAACAUGAUUGAUGAGGCCUUUUUGAUUCUUAAUGAGAUGAAGAGCCAUCCUCUUUGUCAGCCUGAUGUUUUCACUUACAGUACGUUGAUAAAAGUCUGUGUGGAUGCUUUCAAAUUUGAAUUGGUUGAGUUGUUGUAUGAAGAAAUGGCUCAAAGAGGCAUCAUGGCUAAUACUGUUACGCAGAACAUUGUUUUGAAUGGUUAUGGCAAGGCAGGGAUGUUCGAUCAGAUGGAGAAAGUUCUGUCGAGUAUGCUGCAGAGCACUGAUUGCAAGCCUGAUGUUUGGACCAUGAAUACGAUCAUUAGUGUCUUUGGCAAUAUGGGUCAGAUUGAUAUGAUGGAGAAAUGGUAUGAAAAGUUCCGUAAUUUCGGGAUAGAACCAGAAACACGCACUUUUAACAUCUUGAUUGGUUCCUAUGGAAAGAAAAGAAUGUAUGACAAAAUGUCAUCAGUUAUGGAGUAUAUGCGAAAGUUGCAAUUUCCAUGGACCACCUCUACGUACAACAAUGUGAUUGAGGCGUUUGCAGUUGCAGGGGAUGAUAAAAACAUGGAGUAUACAUUUAAUCAGAUGCGUUCUGAAGGUAUGAGAGCAGAUACCAAGACAUUUUGCUGCCUUAUCAAUGGUUUUGCAAAUGCAGGGCUAUUCCAUAAAGUGAUUAGUAAUGUUCACUUGGCUGCGAAGCUUGAGAUACCCGUGAACACUGACUUUUAUAACGCCGUCUUAUCUGCAUGUGCGAAGGCGGAAGAUUUGAUGGAAAUGGAGAGGGUUUUCACGCGUAUGAAAGAUAACCAAUCUCAACCGGAUGACACAACUUACUCAAUCAUGAUCGAGGCAUAUAGAAAGGAGGGUAUGAAUGACAAGAUAUAUUAUUUGGAGCAGGAAAAGCAGACGAUGAUAUCUAGUGAUGAUAAGAUAGCGAGCCAGCCCGAAGAUGAAAUCUUUAGUUGAUUUGUGGUUAUUAGUCCAGACCGCUAAUACAUAUGUAUUCUUCAUCUCCUCUGUCUUGAGCAGCUGUUUAAUUUCGUUUUGACGUGGAUGGAGUGAUUAGUUGCUGAGUUGCACUCCAGCUUCAUUUUUCAUGAUGAAUGGCUGCAUUUCCUGCCUAACUUCUACUUGUUUGUUGUAAAGUUGAAUUUAAUUUUUGUCAUCCAUUUUACUUACAGAGAAGAAAUUUAAACAUCUGCGUUUUUAGUGUAUCGAGUUCAUGAGCUGAUAACUGCUGGCUUUACUAGUGUCCUGUGUCAAAUUUGAGCUCAUGUUUACAUUAACCCCAUCUCAUCUUGUCCGAAGGAAGCUAUUUGGAAGGUUAAAUUUAUUGGUUGGCCUCCAUUUGGUAAUUUACAUAAUUGUAAAAUAUCUAGAUGAUGGUAUUAUAGCCAAGGAAGCAGAAACACUUCAAAAUAAAAGCCAUCUUAGUUGUAUUUUACAUUUUUUUUCAUUUUUAUGCUAGUACAGAUAGGUAUGAUAAGUAGAUACAAGUAUAAAAGUUUAUUAAGUGUUCAAUUAUUCAUAUUUACUUAUAAAAUCUGAAGUGUAUUGGCUAUUGAGUAAAGCAUGUAAGUAUUUAUUUAUAUGUCUAUCUUCAUGUUGGGUCAUAUAAUAUUUAAAAUCUAUCAUAUUCCUGUGUUCAUGUCAUAUUGUACAUGUAUAAUCAUGUUUGUGUCAUGGUUUCUAGAACUAUUAAAUUUCCAAAAUCAUGUUGAAGAAGAUCAACCAGUUUAGAGUUUUGACAAAUCUUAAUGUCGAACCUUGUAUAUCAAACUAUCAUUAAUGUGUUAAUUGCAUAUCAUAUAAUCAUCAAAGUGUCUCUCAAUGUUGUAGAUCCAAUAAAGCUAAACAAAUCUGAACUUUUCCUAUUCCAAACUACAAUAAAAUGAUUCAUUUAUAAAUCAAAUUCCAAAAUAACAAUUAAAACAAUGAACAAUUUCAAAUCAAAACCCAAAAAUACAUGAUAGAAUAACCCAAUCUACAUCAUUUACUACAAAAACAAAAAAACAAAAAAAAAAUGUAUAUUAUGUAUAAACAAUUGCAAGAGAGGUUUUCUCAAUGAUGUAGCCUUGUAUUCCUAUAUUUCUAUACAUGAAAAUUGUAGCAACCAAACUGCAGAAGAAGCAAUCUGUAAUAUCUUGUUUCUAUCUCUUUUGGUAGUUUAUUUUCCCUAUACAAUAUGCAAAGAGGGAUGCAUAGAUAAUUGGGUAAGCAAUGAGCACCACAGCCACAACACUUAAUCUGUCAUGCCUGAACCCAUAGUAAUCCUUUAGAAAGGAACCAACUGAUUUUUUGUCUCCAAAUAUGAGUAUUUCCUUGUCCAUGUCUCCAUACUGUGAAGUUAAUAGGCCAUUCAAGGACCAAGCUGUAGGGCAAAUCCAGUAGCACCAAACCCACCAUUUAGGAAUUUUCUGCACAUAAUAAUCAUAGUUACUUAACUGUAUAUAUACACCUCUCCAACCCGAAAUUCAAACCUUGGUUAGCCAAACUUAAUUAUUUACAAAUUUAACAAAAUCCUUGUCAUAUUAGAACCACACACAAAUAUUAUUUAGGAUGCAGCUAUGAUUCUGUUCAAUCCAAACAAAAUCAAGCCACAACUUAUUGUCCUAUAUAUUAUGCUAUAAAAACUAAAUUAGGAAAAGAAAUUUGUGGAGAUCAAGGAGAGACUUACAGGUCCUGGCAUGAGGAAUCCAGAAAAGAGAUUGAAUAUGGUGUAGACUGCAGUUGACAGUACUGAAGCUAAAUCCAGAUUUAAGCUUAAUGACAUUACCAGCAUUCCAAGAUACACAAAGUAUAGAAAUGUGCAGAAUGUGGUAUAGAAGUACCAAAAGAGCUUCUGAACUGACCAAUGGAAACCUAUCAUUGGAUAUGUGAUAGCCACAUAUAAAAUUGCUUGCACUAAGAUAUAUGGUAUUUCAAUAGCCACCUACAUAAAAAAAAACAUAGAUUAUAACAUUACUGGUUUUAUUAUAAAAUAAAUACCACUUGAAUUUGCUUUGAGCAGCAUCAUACCUGUGCAAAUGAAUAAGCCAUGGAAGAAUACAUUCCUGCAAAUUUUUCUCGAUAUAGGACGGAGCGCUCAGUUGCCACGUACGGUAAAAUUGUUGAACAGUAAUUUAUUCCCAAGAAUAUUACAGCAAUAUACAUUGAUCCAAACACAUUGAACAAAUCCUGCUGAGUGUUUCUUUAACCAUAAAAAAAAACACAUGUCAGUACUUGAUUUAAAAGCUACUCUAGAACCAUGACACCACUAAGAAACAUGAAUGACAAAUGUUUUCUUCUGAUUUAAAUUAAUGAGUUUGGGUUCUGGGCAAAUUAUAUGUAAGUAUAAGAACGCAAACUCACAUUUCCUUCCCUUUCUGCCAAAAUACCGCCCCAAAUAUUAUUGCUGCAACAAUCAUGAACACAAAUCGUAUUAAAUUGUACUCGGGACUUCUCCAAUAGGACAAGUGUUGCUUCCAUAGGCAUGCCAUAAACUGCCCCAAGUUAUUUUGUGGGAAGCGAGUUGAAAAAUGCAAGUCUUUAGAACCUGGUUCUGGUUCACUUAUCUGUCUCACCAAUUCAAGGGUAUCCCUAGAAAUAAAAAUAGUAACUCAAAACAUGAGAUAAGUGCUCUUUCAAAUGUUUGAUCACUGGUCACUAUCAUUACAGCUGAAACAGUUAGUACAUAUAAAAUACGAAAGAAAGAGAAGAUUUUUGUCUGUAUUUUUUCUAUGAAAAUGAAUGAUAGCCAACUCGAUGCUCACCGGUGAAGGUGCGACUCUUUAUAUAUAUUUGCAAAAUCUAUUUUAAGUUCAUCUUCUACAGAUGCAGAAGUAGCUUCCAACAUCCAGGUUGCAGGAUUAUAAUUGUCCUUGAUCUUUGGAACUCCCGGUAUACUCUGAUGGACAGUCAAGUCAAUUAGAUAUAAAUUUGAACAAUUCAGGCCAAGGAGUGAAGACUAAGGCACAGUUUUUUGUCAAUGUACAUUGCAAGAAAAGAACUUUAGCAAAUAAGAUGAUCACAUGGAUCUGUCCAGAAUCUAAAACACUAAAUACUUCGCUUCAGGUCUGAGCAUACCUGAAAAUAUUCGAUCAGUCUAUUUGAAUGAUGGCCUAGCAUUCCAUUAUAUAUGAUCUUGCCUCCAGAUUUCAUUAGAAUCAACUGCAUGAAAAAUAAAUAUUUUUUAUUUGUUGAUCCAUAUGUCAUCCGUACACAAAUAUACAACAGAAAGUACUUUUGACUACCUCAUCAAAAGUCUCAAAUAUAUCGAUGCUUGGCUGAUGUAUGGUGCAAACUGUGGUCCUACCGGUGGCAACAACAUUCUUCACUGCACGCAUAACUACAGCAGCAGCUCGGGCAUCCAAACCUGAUGUAGGUUCAUCCAUAAAAAUUAUUGAAGGAUUGGAUACAAGCUCUACUGCUAUUGUUAGUCUUUUACGUUGCUCAGUAGAUAAGCCACUUUGACCAGCGAUACCAACUAAAUUAUCCUUUAUAUCAUCAAGUUCAAUUGUUUCAAGAACUUCUUCAACAAAUUUCUGCAGAAUAGAUACACACAGAAAGUUACAAAACGCAUCUUUUAUAUGAAAAUGACAGACAAACCACGGUAUAAAUCCCAUACCCCUUUUGUAGCUGAAUCAAUCUCGCUUGGCAACCGCAACCAUGCUGAAUAUCGAACAGAUUCUUCUACUGUUAUAUAUGGAGAAUGUAUGUCGUUCUGCUCACAGUAACCUGAAACUCUUGCAAAUGUCUUUUGCACUUUAGGGUACCCUCCAAUUCUUAUAUCUCCUUCAAUGAUACCUCCAGUUUUUCUUCCUGAAAGGACAUCCAUGAGUGUUGUCUUCCCUGCUCCACUGACUCCCAUCAAUGCAGUAAGGAUUCCUGGCCUAAACGCUCCCGUGAUAUCGCAGAGCAAUUGUAGAUUUUUCUCAUUUGAACCGUGUUUUUUCAUCUCCUGCUCAGAAGAGUAAAUUUCUUAAUUGACAACCUUGUCAACAAUCUACAUAAUCAUAAUAACAACAAGAACGUGAUUAUGAAUUUUACCGGAGGUGUGUCAACAAAAUACUGAACAUCCUUAAAUGCUAUUGACAGUGGCAAAAAGGGCAAGACCAUUUUCCCUGCAUAACCAACCAUGCAAAAGAUACCAUAAGUCGUUACGAUCUGUUUGAAAGAAAGAAUUCCUGUGAUAUAAGUUACCAUAAAGUAUCAUUUUUCUACCUGUGCUUUGAGCUUCCUUGGAUGUGUGGGUAAUAUCAACUGCUACUGACUUAUUUUUUAAUUCCACUUCAUUGUUUUUUUCUCCUCUUUUUAGUUGAGGCAGCCUCUUUUUCGAAACUAAAGCUCGAGAUUGCUUUGGCUCUGAAUGCAUUUCCCAUCAAAUCAGUGGAUUGAGCAAAAUAAAAACAAUUGCUCGAUAUUUUUCCUUGCAAUAUCAUGGAUAGGACUCACCUUUUAAGUAAGUUAAUGCUACUAUAAAUAGUAUAUCAAAUACUACUGCGAAACCAAGUAAUGCUCCAAUUGAUAUCCAGAAGAAGUUGCUAUCAAAGUCUAAACCACGACUCUUGAGAACCUCCCUUCCAACGGUGAUGUUUCCCUCUUGAAUCUGAAUAAUAAUAAUAAUGAAAAUAACAAUAAGAAUAUAGAUAUAUAACUGGAGAUUAAUUUUGAUACACCGUCUGUGUAAAACGUUUUACACUGUAAACAAAUUAUAACCAGUUAUAUGUGUGACUUCAGUAGUAUUUAGAAUAAACGUCAAACGUUUGUAAUGAUCAUCCAAUUAUGAUUCAUUGACAGCAUAAAAAAUCGUUAUCCUGAUAAUGUCUAGGAAUUAAACCCAUAUAAAUGUAUAUUGUGCCCUAUCAUGAAACCAAAUAAAUCAUCUUAGAAGGUACCUUUUGCCAGCGAGGAGCAAGAAAUUCAUUGAGUGUUAUUCCUAUUUCCCCAUAUGACAUGGGAGAAACCCAAAACCCCCACCUCAACCACUUUGGUAACGACGCUGCAGAGAAUAAACUACAUGAUGAGUAACUUGGUCAUUAGUAAUUUAGUACUACUACAUGUUAUAACUAAGACUAUAUAAAGCGUCUUACGUCGAGGAAGAAUAAAGCCUCCAAACAAGAACAUAAGUACUAAGACCAAAGAACCAACAGUUGUAGCUGCAACAUCAGUUUUAAACACUGCGGCAAGGGAACGGCACAUAGAGGUUGAUGACAUGUGCAGAGCGAUAAGCAAAAGGAACUGGCGGAGGAACCUGGUCCAACAAAAAAUAUGUAAGAAAAAACUUGCAAAAGAAAUGAGAAAAAGUUUGACUAUAUUUACAUGCCUUGUUAUUUCUGGGCUGUAGCCUAUAACAUAAUAUGUUAUUGAUGUCCAAACAAGAGAAUCAAGGACUGAAAAUGGAAUCUUUAGUAUGGCAGCUGGAAGACAGUAAGCCCAAGCUGGAUAGAGAUAGAAUGCUUUCUGCUUAUAAACAACGGGGAGUCUAGUAAUAGUCAUUAUCAACUCGGCAACUCCAUUUGUCAUUAGGCGUACAAGUGUAUAGUACAAUGAACCUAAUAAAUAGUUUGAUCCUAACAAGUCCACGUCAAGUUGUGUGCGCAAAAAGACCGUCAUUGUUAUGAUUGCAGUGAUUGUAAGCUGCAAAACAUGCGAAAAAAUAAACAUGUUAGAUUUUAAAUGUUCAAGUACGACUUAGCUGAGUUGAACUGAACUUGAAUUUGAUAGUAACCUGCACAGUUUUGAAUAUAUAGAUAAAUGAGUUUCGUUUCAUGAGAAGAAUCUCCCUCUUCAUACAAGCUUUAAACAAAUCCCAUUUUCCUAAGGAGUACUUGCUAUAUGAUAAAGAACUUUCAUGGGAUUGAGAUUUAUCAUAUGGUUGCGAGAGCUCAUCAUCUAACAUUCUUCCCCAGUAACUUGUUUUGAAAAUCUGAGAGAACUCAUCCACUGAAACAUAACUGUAAGGAAUAUCUGUGCGGUACCAGUAUUGCCUUUGAUCCUUCUUAGAGGUUACCUGCACAUGCAUGAAAUUUGUAACUCGUGAAACUAUGAGUAAAAUCACUUGAACUUUGGCGCAAUGGUAAGGGACACAGUUUCCAUUUCUACCUCUUGAAGAAAGUCUGCCACUCCUUUUCUUUCAGGGCACCAGAAACCGCAAUCCUUAAAGAACUGGAGUGCUUGACUGCAGGGGCCAUGGUAUACUAUCUUUCCCUCUGCCAUCAAUAUAAGAUCAUCAAAUAACUCAAAGGUUUCUGGUGCUGGUUGGAGGAGUGAAAGCACUGCUGUUGCAUCAUUGAUGUGCACCAAUUGCUGGAGACAUGUAACUAUUUGAAAAGUAGUGGAGCUGUCUAACCCAGUUGAUAUUUCAUCCAUAAAAAGUGCUUUUAUGGGACCUACAAUCAUCUCUCCUGCAGUAUGAUUUGGAAAAAAAUUGAGUAUAUAUAUUAAGAAAAUAUCUAUGAAGAAUAUUUAGUAUGUUUGCAGUCCAACCACAAGUAUCAUUAGCCUUAAUUUUCACUGCUCUAGUAAAGAGGCAACGCUUCUCAUGUAUAUUCAGCCAAGAGAAGUAACUUGUAAGUACUUCAAGUAUUCACAAGUUCUAAGGAGAUUAUUGAGUCUUGAAUUUUCCUCUCCGCGACUCUUAAAAUUUUGAUUGGAACUAACUCAAUCCUACAAAAUUGCUUUUAAGGUGAUGGUUGCUCACACAUUAUCAGGUCACAUGUCAUGCAUUAUGGGACUCUCAACAUACACCCUCACGCCCAAAACUGAGCAUUUGGAGCGUGACCUAAGAGGCCGAUAGCAGGAAGCCCAACAGAUCUUGUAUCAGCUCUAAUACUGUCUUCAUAUUUGAGUUGGGCUAACUCAGCUCUAUAAAUACGACUUGUAAGGUGAUAGAUGUCUCUCACUUGUAAACCCAUUUUCAAGCUAUAUCUCAUCCAGCGCGGGACUCUCAAUAGUAACAAAAUGACAAGAAAACAUUACUUAAUUUUCAAGAUACCUGUAGUUAGCCUUUUCUUCUGUCCACCUGAAAUGCCUCUAUCUAGUGCAUCUCCAACCAGAGUGUCAGCACAGAUAUCCAAUCCAAGUAUCUACAACAUCAAAAGUUGAAUCCACGUGUUAAAAAGAAUAGAAAACAUCUAAAGUGAGAGAUUCAAUAACUUUGUGCUCUAACUCAACCCUGCUUUAAGCAGAUGUACCUUUAAAACAUAUUCCGUUUGAAGAUUUUCGCUUUGUCCUUCAACAGAAAUAGCCUGCAAAAGUCUGUGUUAAUUUCUGUCAACUUUUUUCUUUCUAAUUAUGACAUAUAAAUUCUCCAUACUACAAUUACCUUCAUAUAAGUAUCAAUAUCCGGGUCAGGGAAGAUUCCUUGUUCUUUUUCUUUCCUAGUGAUUUCAGUCAUUAUAUCUGCAAUUCAAAGGAUACAUAUGAAUGCCUACUGGUAUUGUAUUAGUUACAACUUAUAUGGAUAAUCUAGGAUUGAAUAAGCAAGAAAGAUUACCAGCUCUGCUUCCAACCCCCUGACAACGUGCCGAGAAGUCAAUAGUUUCCCUGACUGUCAUCUCAGGAAUGUUGAAGGUCAUACUGGCUUAUGUAAGCUGAUGUUUUUUGAGGAACAAAUUCAUCUAGUCUGUGACCAUUGUAACAGAUUUCUCCAGAAACCUAAAGUUAAGUAAAGAGGUAGGAUACCACAGCGAUUAAUACGUAGGAAUCUUUAUUGUUUUGAAGUUAUGCUAAAAAAAUCAUUUAAACUCAAUGACUUUGCACAUUAACUUUAUUCUAUAUUACUGUGUUUAAAAACUGACUCGAGAGAUUGAUCUAGUUUUCCAGCCAAUGCCAUUAGUAAGGUAGUUUUCCCACAGCUAGGUGGACCCAGAAGAAGAGUAAGCCUGCAUUAAAAGCCAUAUUUGAUGAGUUAACGUUUAGAAAUCCGGUCCGUUUUUUUAUUUUAAGCUUCAUCAUUUUGUUUUUUCUGUCAAAUAACCAUAUCCAUGCCGGAGUGUCUUAUGGAUCCUUUUCUAUUUGUGAUUGUGAAUACCAAAUUAAUGUGAAUAUGAGUGCAUCCUUGUAAAAUAUUCACUUGCCUUGCCGGCUUUAUGAUGCCACUGACAUCUUUCAGAAUGCCCAAUUUGGUUUCUUGAGAACUGCAUGAUAUAGUCUUCACUAAAUCCUGUUUGAAUCACAAGUUAGUUCUGUUUGCAUGUACAAAUAAGAUGAGGCAGUGACAAAUGUAGGUUGUGGUGCAUAUAAAUAGUAAGAGAGAUGGAAGGAAGCAUACUUACUGAAAAUAAGCUAGAAAAAGAAUUCCAUAGAGUAGGAAGUGGCUUCCCUUGAACAACCUCACAUUCUGCUUCUACAUUCAGGUUCUUGUACCUUACCUCCACACUAGGUAACUUCACAUUCACUCUGAAAAACAAACCAAUCUAUCAGCCAAUUCUUCAAAAUAAUCCACUAUAUAUACUAAAGAUACACCCCUUCCUUCUUUAACUGAGUGCCAUAAAUGUAACAAAGUGCUUAUCAUAUAAGUGCUUAUGUAUAAGCUAUUUCUAUAACAAACAGUUACAAGUUAUUCGAAGAAUUUAUUAUGCGAAAUAGCUAAAAACAGCUGGUGCACAUGUCAGAAGCUAUUUUCAUAAGCUCUCUCAAACAGUCUCGUAAGUGUUUAUGUGAGUAAAUAAGCUCGAAUAAGUCAAUCAAUCUAUAGUACAAAAUCUACUCAAUUCCAGAAUUGGAUGCCAAAAAUAUCAUAAUCAUUUGUGAAUACUCCACUCAAACAAAAUGUCAACCCUAAUUUGUUAGUAAAACAAAAACAACUUAUUUUGCAGCAUGAUCUAGUCGAGUGUAAACAAAUUACCUUUCCAUCCUUUCUCUAAGUUUCUGCAACAAGUUGAGAUUAUCAUUCUCAAUAUGCUUGAUGAGCUUAUCAAUAAACAACCGCUUAUCAACAGCUCCAAGUUUAGUAACAUCAACAACCCUUUUACUACUACUUCUUUGCCAUCUACUACCACUUUCCUCCUGAGUGAUUUCAUCAACAAAAGAAGUUUUAAUCCUUUUGAAAGUUGGUAGUUUCUCUAUAGCAGCCCAUUUAGUAACUUCGAGAAAUAGAAGGAGGUGUUUACUUAGACGUAGAGACAGUUAAGUCACAACAUGACCUUGAUUUCUUCCUCUUGGAGUUAACUCCAUUACUAAUCUUAACUUCAAUCAGCAGCUACUGAAGUGAAGCUUUUAAAGUGUAAUAAUCACAAACAUGUGGUGUGCAAAUAUUGAAAUGAUUGUUUAGAGAUUUUGAAGGAGGAAACAGAAUUUGAUUGUGUUUGAAAGUGGUUUUGAAAAGCAGCCACUUCUUGAGAGUGACUCUUGAUUAAGAAACAAAACCAAUUUGGUUAUAGGAUUGUCAAAGGUUCACAUGAAGAGAGAGUUGUUUGGUUGUUAGAUUGGAGUUUGUUUAUUUUGGUUCUCUGCAAAUUAUUAUUUUAUAAUUUGUUCAUCUCUAUUCCCUUCAUUGACUCUCUACAACAAAGUCCCUAUGGUGAUUUUUUUUCUUCAUGCAAGCUUUAUUUUAUAAUAUCUUUUUAGUUUAAUUAUUUUUUUUUGAAUCCUUCAAAAUGAUAAGAGAUUGGUGUGCCCAUUUUAAAUUUUAUUAUUUUUGGUUUUUCAUUCAGAUUUUUAAUUAAAAAUAAUAAAAUAUGUGAUAAAUAAUUAGAUAAUUUAAAUAAAGUAAUAUAAUUAAAUUAGUAAGAAAAAGAUAGAGGAUUUAGAGGAGAUGACAAAAGUGUGUGGGAGAUGAAUUUAAAAUUAGGUUUAGAAUUGAUUAUUUUUAAUACUAGGAUCUUUUGACUUUCGAGUGAUGGUAGUUAAUUUCACAUGGAAUUAUUCUAUUUGGAUAUUUGUAUGUCAAUGUUGAAGAUGUCAUUGAUGGGAAGAGUUGUUAGUUGAGAUAAAACAUUAACGAGGGAUUGUCCAUGAAGAGAGAUGUCAAGGAUAUUAGUUAAUGCAUCUUCAGACAAAAUUAAGGGAUUCUGAGAGUGAGUUUUUUCUAUUUUGAUCCAGCAUGAGUAUAACCAAAUUGUUUUUAGCCUAAGAAUGUCUCAAUAUAAUCAUAUGAAAGAAGUAGAUAUUUGGUUUGAAAAAAAGUUGUAGAUAUUUGGUUUGAAAAAAAGUUGUGAAGGACGGUUCAUCGUGAUUGGUGAAAGUCAUUUUUUUCUAGUACUUUCAAUGAAUGGUAACUUUUUUACCGAUUAGAAUUAGGAGAUUGAGUUUGUACUCGACGGCGGAGGCUAUCUCAUACACUUUUGGGACUUCUAGGAUUCGAUCUUGAAUGUUAUAAUAUUAUAUAUUGAGAGACAAUGAGAUAUAUGGUAUGGACUAUAAUCUCGACAAAGUUUUGGAUAAUUUUAGUGUUGUGAUUCCAAAUUUUGACAUUAACACCCUCUUAAAGCACAUGUUUUAGUGAAUGUCCGUUUUAGUAAAAAUGUUCAGAAUAUAGACACAAAGUUUGAUAUGGCCAUAAGACAAAAAGUAAUUUUUGAUUGUUUGCAAGCAACACAUGGUUAUGAAUUUCUCAUUGUUAUUCCUAUUGAUGGGUUAUGCCAACACGUGUCACCAUUAAAGUAUCUUAUUAUCCUUAUAUAUCAUCUUAUGAUUAUCUUAUUUCUUAUUGAUGAAGUUUUCUCUAUUUGUUACAAGAUGUGCUUGGAUACAUUUGAGAAACAUGAGGUUCAUUGCAAUGAGCUUUCAGAAUUCAAAUACCAACAUGACUUUAUUAGGGAUGUCAUAUUUGGAAUAUUUCGGCACGCUAGACUAUCCGUAAAGAAAAAGAUGUUUGUGAAUUUCUUUACUGACCCACGUGAUUGGAGAUCGACACUUAGGUCAAUAAAUAUUCUGAUGUACGAUUGGGUAGGAAGAAAAUAUGCAUGUGUGGACUUAACUAGAGUUUAUCCACUUGUGGGAAUAAGGAUCAGGUGUUUUAUCAUAAGACAGACAACUCUCAAAGUCGCUUCAAGUAAAAUAGUCAAACAUGAGAAAGCGUGUUCCGACAAACAACAUAUUUUCAUACCAUUUGCGUUUGACACUUUUGGUUUUCUAACACUAGAGAGAGUAAAAUAAAACCGAGUAAAUCUUCGACUGAAAGCCUAAAAAUUCAUACAUAACAAUGUUGUGUCUCGUAGGUCAAUAAAUAUAAUUUUAAAAAAAUAUAGUUUCACAAUCCAAAAUAGAUUAAUCGCAUAACUUGUUCCUGAUUCUCCUUCUAUUUUGCAUUUUAUUUUGAUAAAUCUUUAUUUUAUUUAUUGACUUAAGGUGCUUGAAUCAUUUACCACAUGGAUGAAACUGAUUUUUGGUGUAAGUUUUAUUUGUUUUAUUUUUAAUUCAUAGUAAUAUAAUAAUAAGUUACUAUUUUGAGUCAAUGGUGGUAAUUAGAAAAGUGUUUACACAGUAAUUAGAUUUUCAUAUCUUUAACUUUUCUCUUUAGUGUUUAAGCAUAUUAAUAUAUUAGUUUUCAUAAGCGAUAGACCCGGAUUUGUCUCUCCCAAAAGCACUUUUCCUUAACUUCGAUCUUUAAUUUAAUCAACUUGUUUUGGUUCUAACUAACUUUUGCUUAAUGUGAAUUAUUACGCCCAGCUCAGCUAUAUUAAUUUUCGUUUUGGAGAAAAACACCAAAAGAAUAUUUAAAUAAUAACGUUUAUAACCCAAAAAGUUGUGCUGUUUAUUUUUUUUAAUAAUUGUUCCACAAAAGAUCAAAUUAAAUUAAAACUAGUUUAUACUUAUCUGUGCAUAAUUACCUUGCCUACCCUUCCAUCUUGAGUAACGCCAAAGUUUGAUGAACAAAAUUCAUUUGAAAUUGUAGCAUGCAAUUGUUGAAUGCUAAAAUAUUCAAUGGCGGCUAAUUGAAUAAAAAUAAAAAUGUGAUGAAAUAAUUAAUAUUUAGGUUUUUGUUUCAAAAUUCAAAUUCAAAAGCAUGACUCAUAUACGGUUGAAGAAUUUGCUGUACUUAGACUACAUGAUGUGAAAACACGUGAUCUUAUACAACGUAUUACACACAAAAAAUCUAAAUUUAUACGCCACUAAAAUAGAAAAAGGAGAAGAAAUUGUUUUUUUUAAUUUAUUUAUUUAUAUUAUAUUAUAUUAUAUUAUAUUACGUAUGCGUGGGGUACCCCCAAUAACUAAGAAUGAUUUUUCUUUCUUUUAGAUCUGUCUUUUUCUUUUAGCCUCCAGUAAUUAGUAUUGUAUGGGCCAUGCUGUCUUGCUUUCCAUAUGUUUUAUUCUUUAAUUACAAUUCUUAAUUAAAUAAACAACUUGUUACAAAAUUCUCAAUUAAAAUUAUGUGUACGGAACACGUGUCAAGAAAACUAUAUAGUACAGUCUUGAAUUCAAAAUGCGACUAUAUAAAGUAUUUGACAUUUUAAUUUUAAUUUCUCAAACAACAAAUACUUUUUUCCAUAGUAAAAUAUUUGAAAAAAAUGUUGCGCUUUAGAGUAUAAAAUCGUUAAAAGUAAUUCAAUAUCCAAAAUUAACCUUAUCAUGAGAUGCUCUUUUUGGCCUUAAUCACUAUUUCAUCUCAGCAAUUAAUAUGUAGCCAAGCACUGCAAUGUGUGGUGUUACAAAAAUUGUAACACUCUAAUGUGUAAAAACACUAAUUUAAAAACCGACUUGAAUCGGAAAUUGACGGGUCAAAUUGAGAAUCAGGGAAAUCCAUUUUAAUUGUUUACAAGAUUGAUUAUGUAAUCAAAUUAACAGAAGUCGAUAUAAGUUUUUGUAAAUCAAAGAUGUUUUGGGUCAGGUGCAAGGCCUACAAAGAAUGCCCAAUAACUAGUGUUGAAGAAAAAAAUGUGCAUAAUAAAUGGACCUUCCUUAUUUCAAGGAACACAAUUACACCUUUCAUCACAUCUUUGAUCGUUGGAUCUAAUUGAAUGACAACCUGCACAAGACGUUGAAUCAAGCAUGGAAGGUUUUAACCGUCUAUACUAUAUAAAGACCAGCUUGUAUCAUUUCAAAUAUUCAAUUCAUUUCAACUCUAAAACUAUUUUUCACUCAUUUAUUGACUUGGACGUUGAAGUGUUAAUCUUGCAGGUUCACCCCCUCUCCACCACACCGAAAGUCUUAUCCACCACAUCAAAAAAAUGAUUAUGUUGGAAAUCCCUCAAAAUCUAUGGAGAAUUUCAAUCAAUCUUGAUGAACAAAAUUGUUAUCACCCACAUAAUAACAACGAAAAGAAAGAACAAUGGAGAAAGAAAGAAAUUAAAGAACGAUGAAGGAGAAGAGUAAUAAAAUUCUGCAGACUUUCUCUCUGCCCACAAACUGUGAAACACUUCUGAUUCACUUUGCAACUGCAAGAUACUCUGAAUUACAAGUGUUGUGAAUACUUUGUUCACCUCUUUUUCAAAAAUAAGGGUCACUCCCUCUAUUUAUAGAUUUUAGGUUAACUUUGACCUCAAGUCAAAGUCCAAAACUGUAAAAGUCCAAAAUUAUAAAAACCCAAAAUAGUUAACACUACUCAACACAUUAAGUGGUUCGACACUUCCUUGCUCUGUCGAGCAACCUGCUUCCACACAAGGAAUUACAAUUCAAGACACCACUUAAUUCAUUGUGUAUAAGCUAUCUACAUUCAUCAUAGCUCUUAGCCUUCUGAACACUUCGACUUGCAUUCCCUUCGUCAUGAUGUCUGCAAUCUGAUUCUCAGUUCUGCAGUGUUCCACAUUCAUCUUCCCAUCUGCUACCUGCUCUCGAAGAUAUUGGAACCUCGUCUCGAUGUGCUUGCUUCGACCAUAUGCUAUCGGAUUCUUUGCCAGAUUGAAAGUUGACAUGCUGUCAAUCUUCAUGGUAAUUGCUCCAUGACUCUUCGUUGUUAUCUCUUCAACCAGAUUCAUCACCCAUGUUGCUUGACAUGCACAAAGAGAAGCAAUUAUGAAUUCUUCUUCACACAACGAUAAUGCCACUACUGGCUCUUUUCUCGAACUCCAAGCAACUGGUGCACCACCUAGCAUAAACACAUAACCAGCUGUGAAUUUUCGAUCCUCAACAUCACUACACCAACUUGAGUCAGUGUAUCCCACUAAUUUGCAUUCUUUUCCUUCAUCAGUUGCAGGAAACAAAAUGUCAUAGUCGAGAGUUCCUUUCAGAUACCUUAGUAUCCUCUUCGUUGCUGCUAGAUGUGAUACCUUUGGCUUCUGCAUGAACCUACUUACCAUACCUACAUUGUAUGCUAAGUCAGGCCUUGUGUGACAAAGGUACCGAAGUGACCCAAUAAGUAUUCUGUAUUGGGUUGGGUCUACAUCAUCUUCAUCUGAAUCUUUUGACAGUUGUAAUCUGGGCUCAGCCGGAGUCGAAGUUGGGUUGCAAUCUUGCAUCUCAAAUCUCUUGAGAAUUUCACUUGCAUACCUUCUUUAAUGUAUCAUCAAACCUCUACCACUCUUGUAUAACUCGAUGCCAAGGAAAUAUGAAAUGUCACCCAAAUCUGACAUUUCAAAUUCCUUGUUGAGAUCACUUUUGAAGUCUUCAAUCUCCUUCUUGCAGCUACCUGUUAUCAACAGGUCAUCGACAUAGAGGCAUAGUAUAAGAAAUUCACUCUUGCUUCUUCUUACAUAUACUCCAUGUUCAGAUUUGCACUUUACAAAUUCCUUCUCCCUUAUAAAUCUAUUUAUCUUCUUGUUCCAAGCUCUUGGAGCUUGUUUAAGUCCGUACAGGGCUUUAUGCAGCCUGUACACUUUUCUUUCUUCGCCAUGUUUCACAAACCCAACUGGUUAUGCAACAUAAACUUCUUCUUCUAAGGGGCCAUUAAGGAAUGCACAUUUCACAUCCAUCUGACACAUCUGUCAGUUCUUCAUGUUUUCUAGACCAACAACCAACCUGAUUGUUUUGAUCCUAGCAACAGGUGCAAAAACUUCAUCGAAGUCGAUUCCUUCUUUCUGAAGGAAUCCUUUCGCCACAAGUCUCUCCUUGUGUCGAGUCACUUCUCCUUUGGGAUUCAACUUCACCUUGUAUACCCAUUUCACAUUGAUUGCCUUCUUGUCUUGGGGAAAUUCGACAAGUGACCAAGUGUUGUUGACUUCGAUUGACUUCAGUUCUUCGUCCAUUGCUUUCAUCCACUUCGAAUCUUUCAAUGCCUCAACUGCAUUGACAGGUUCGACAUCUGCGUAGAAAGCAUAAUAUACCAACUCACCUUCUUCAUCGACCAUAUCAUCUGAUGUAAUCACACAUUCUUGCAAUCUUGCAGGCAUGUGUCUUGCUCUUUGAGGUCUGCUUGUACUUGCUUCACCUCUGACUUCUUCCUGUCGAACUUCUCUUUCGACUUCACUAGCUGGUUCAUCACAAAAUAUUCUCGCUGAAUCUUUCUUGACAUUCUCAGUCCAAUCCCAUUCUAUAAGCUCAUCUAUGAUCACGUCCCUGCUGAUCACCACAUGUUUAUUCACUGGGUCGAACAACUUGUAUCCUCCAGUCGAAUGAUAUCCUAUCAGGAUCAUCUGACUCGACUUGUCAUCAAGUUUUCUUCUCAACUAAUCUGGCACAUAUCUAUGUGCUAUGAUCUAAACACCCUCAGAUGACUCAAGCUAGGUUUGACACCAGACUAACAUUCUUCUGGCGUGAUUCCUUAUAUCUUCUUCGUCGGACAUCUAUUCAGGAUAUAUGUCGUAGUCGACACAGCUUCUCCCCAUAAUUCUUUGGGUAGAUGCUUGUCUUUCAACAUACUUCUAACCAUAUUCAUGAUGUUUUUAUUCUUCCUUUAUGCGACUCUAUUCUGUUGUGGAGUGUAGGGUGGCACCACCUCAUGCACAAUCCCUUCUUUCACACAUAAUACAUCGAAAUCUUUCGACACAUAUUCUCCACCACCAUCAGUUCUCAAAAUCUUGAUCUUUCAACUGCUCUGUCUUUCGACCAUAGAUUUAAACUUGGAAAAUACCUCGAUCACUUCACUUUUCUUCUGGAUCAGGUAAGACCACAGUUUUCGACUGAAAUCAUCUAUGAAUGUAAUAAAGUAUUUGUUACCUCCAAUCGAAUCCACCUGGAAAGGACCACAUACAUCAGAGUAUAUGAAUUCAAGAAUUGCCUUCGACCUGCUUCCUGCAUCCUUAUUGAAGUUGUUCUUAUGUUGCUUUGCCUGCACACAUUCUUCACAUACUUCGUUUGGAAUAUCGAUUUCUAGUAAUCCUGAAAUCAUAUUUCUUCUCUUCAAAUCUCUGAUGUCUUUGAAAUUGAUAUGGCCAAGACUGUAAUGCCAUAUCCGUUCAUCUCUAUUGGUUGUUGUUGCAAGGCACUUAUGCUCCAUCACAUUUAGUUCAAUCUUGAAGGUUUUAUUCUGAGACAUUGGAGCCUUCAAGAUCAACCUUCCAAUUGAGUCGAGAACUCUCAUCAUCUUGUCUUCGAUUGACACCUUGUAGUUUUUUUCGACCAACUGCCCUAUGCUGAGCAAAUUACUUUUCAUGCCUGGUAUGUACAACACAUUUGAAAUUACUGACAUCUUGCCAUCUUUCUUCAUAAUCAGAACAUCACCAACACCUUUAGUUGUUAGAGUGUUGUCAUUUGCAAAUUUCACCAUGUUCUUCAUUGAGGGCUUUAUGUUGACAAACCAAUCUUUCCUUCUAAACAUGUGUGAUGAUCAUCCUGAGUCCAAGUACCACUGGUCCUUGAAUCUUUAUUCUUCUUUUGUUGUAACCAUCAGCAACGUCUCUUCUUCUUCAUGUUUUUCCAGCUUUGCAUAAGUUUCUUGAUUCUUCUGAUUUUCUGGACAAUCACUAGAAUAGUGAACAUAUAUUUGACAAUUGUAAACUGAAUGUGACUCUUGUAUGGCUUUUGACCACCACCUCUUCCUCUACCUGCAACACCACCUCUUUGGUUGCCUUGGUUCCAGGGUUUUCUCUGAUCUGACCAGAUUCCUUCUGGCUGAUUUCAACCAGUCGAAUUAUUGUAACCUCCUCCGCCUUUGUUGUCAUUCCAGCUUCCUUUGCCUUUUCUUUCUUUUGUUGAUUGAGCCUGCAAAGCCAUAUCACUCUUCGACUUUCCUGCAGCUCUUUUAACCAUUCUUUGUUCAUGAGAUUUAAGCGUCCCUUGAAGCUCUUCCUUUGUCAAUUUUGACAAAUCUUUCGACUCUUCUAUGGCUACUACCACAUGGUCAAACUUUGGAGCCAACGACCUCAAGAUCUUUCCAACAACAGAUCUUGAUGUAAACAUUUCUCCACAUACCUUGAUUUGAUUCACCAAUUUCGUAACCUUAGUGAAGAAAUCAGUUAUGCUUUCAUUGUCUUCCAUCAGAAGCAGUUCAUACGUUCUUUUGUGAGUUUGUAACCUCGCCUCUUUCACCUUCUUCGCGCCUCCAAACGAUUUCUCCAUAAUUUCCCAUGCUUCUUUUGCUGACUCUGCAUCACUAACCUUUUCAAAGUUAUCUGCAUCAACACAUUGAUGGAUUAUAAAGAGAGCUUUAUAAUCUUUCUUCUUCUAUUCUUUAUGUGCAACAUUUUCUUGACCUGUCGCGGUUUCUGCAAGCGUUGAUACUCCUUCCUUCACAAGAUCCCAAAGAUCUUGAUAACAGAACACAACCUUUAUCUGCUUGCACCAAUUCUCAUAAUUGUUAUUCUUGAGAAUCGGAAUAUUUGCUGGAAAAUGCUCGUUUGGAUGAUUCGUUGCCAUGGUGAUUUUCUUCCCACAAAUCAAUUAAACUGGAGCUCUUGAUACCAAAUGUUGGAAAUCCCCUAAAACCUAUGGAGAAUUUCAAUCAAUCUUGAUGAACAAGAUUGUUUUCAUCCACACAAUAACAACGAAAAGAAAGAACAAUGGAGAAAGAAAGAAAUUAAAGAAUGAUGAAGGAGAAGAGUAAUAAAAUUCUGCAGAGUUUCUCUCUGCCCACAAACUGUGGAAAACUUAUAAUUCACUUUGCAACUGCAAAAUACUGUGAAUUACAAGUGUUGUGUAUGCUCUGUUCACCUCUUUUUCAAAAAUAAGGGUUACUCCCUCUAUUUAUAGAUUUUAGGUUAACUUGGACCUCAAGUCAAAGUCCAAAACUAUAAAAGCCCAAAAUAGCUAACACUACUCGACACAUUAGGUGGUUCGACACUUCCUUGCUCUGUCGAGCAACCUGCUUCGACACAAGGAAUCACAAUUGAACAGAUUCUUCGUAUCUGAGCUUUAUUCCAUCACUUCAUCACCUAUCUCUAGUUUCCGAACGAAACUAUAUCCCAUCUUUGAGAAUCAACUAUUAAUUCCAUCCAUUUAUCCAUGAAAAAUCAUUGUCUUUUCACCGAAGAUUCAUAUUAUUGAUCUUCUUUUCACAAAACACUGAUCUCUUUCUCGAACCAUUGAUCAAAUAUCAAACUCGUAAAGCCACGGUGACGUCAAAGGUUAAUAGAUAUGUCGCUCAAUAUCACGCCCCUACUACGGUCAUUGAAGCUAACAUUGUUCCACCUCAUUCUCCAAUAGAAGAAGAUCUAGUUCUAGUGAUUAUAUCUUAGUACAAUAGCAAAACUCUUAAGCCUUGGUAGAAAGGAUACUCAAGAUUGAAGAGAGCCUGAAGUGAGCUCCUUCGAAAACUAACACUACAACACUCCAAAAUUUGAUUAAUUUAAUUAAUCAGAUUAUUAGUAUUAUUUAUUUAAUAUUGGUAUGUGGUGUAUUUUAAUUAAAUAUGUAUGUUGAUUUGUAUGUAUAUGUGGGGCCUUAAUGGGGUGUAGUGAGAGUGUUGGUAGGGUGAUAGAAGGACUAGAAAGACUAAAAUAAUUAAAUAAUUAGAAUUAACUUUGAAUUACUAAUUAAAAUAAAAUAGAAAAAGAGAUUUGGGUGUAAUAAUAGAAAAUUAGAGAAUAUGGGAAGAGUGGUGAAAAUUAUAACUUGCAUUGGGUCAUAAUGCAAUUUUUAAGAAAUUUAAUAAUUAGGUUAGAAUAUAUUGUAGUUAGUAAAGUUUUCGGAGAAAAAGGAAUACGUAAAAUAAAAUUUUAGAGAAGGAAGAGGCUAGGGCUAGGAGAACCUCCAUUGAUAGAGCUUGAAGGUCGUUUGCUGGAAAAUCUAAGGUAAGGAGGGGAUUACUCCUAAUAUGAUGUAUAUUGUAUGAACUGGGUAGAGGAAAAUCCUUAAUCUCAUUAGGUUUUUCUCUAUUUUUUCCUUUUUUGUUGAAAGAUUGAUGAACAUGCAUGAGAUUCUGAAAUAGCAUGGAUUAUAUGAUGUGUUAUGUGAUUUUGGGUGUUCAUGUUCAUGAUGUUUGUAUGAAUUGGUGUUCAUAUGUAGGUAAUGAUUUUGAUGACUAAAGCAUGUUAAAUCCAUGAUUAAUCUAAUGAAAUGCAUCUUCAUUGAAGGAUAAAUGACAUGUUGUUGUUCGACAACAUUUUCCUGAUUGUUGUUAUUCGAUUUGAGGUCUGGGAAGGUAAAAUUAGAGUUAUGUUUUGAACUCCAAUGAAAAGAACACCAUGUUUGUCAUGUGUUGCGAAGCGCUGAUGGGCGUCAGCUAUCUGACGGGUAGACCGUCAUGGCCCCCAAGCACUUUAUUAUGAGGUGAUCGUCAUAGUGAUGACGUGUAAGGUGACAUGGGGGUGACGGGGGUCACUAGGUGACGGGUAACCCAUUAUGCUGCUAGAAUGUGCAUCGUUCGCUCAUUUGCUUAUGAUUGUGUGUUAGUUCCUAUUUUUGGUGUUGUGUUGUCAUUAGGCUAUUAUUUGACCACUGUUUGGAGAUAUUUUUGUGAUAUUUGUUAAUGAAUGCUGAAUUAAUCAAUUAUUAUGAUGUUGUACAUAAUUGUGAUGACUGUAUGGUGAUUAUUUGGUGAUAAUGCAUGUUAUGUGAAUCAUGCAUCAUGGUGUACGGACUUCGGUCCAGUUUUAAUGUGCUUUGGUCCGAUGGUGUGGAUUCAUAAGCGAGUAACUGGUUCCAAAUGAGAAUAAGUGAAAAGUUACUUAUGGUGAUAUUAGUGAUUUGGUGUGCUCUGGUCCUAUGGUGGGGAUUCAGGAGCGAGAUGGAGAUGUGUUGUCCAUAAUGGUACCGCAUGCAUUAUUGAGUCGUGGUGUUGAGUAUAUUUCCAUUCAUUAUUUGCAUAUGUAUUGAAUAAUCAUGUUGAUAUUGGUGAUUGAGAAUGCUUUGGUGAUGUAUGUGAUUAAUUUGUGUUGAAAAUUGUUGAUGUUUGUUUAGGCUACCCUUGCAUACUUUUGCGCUGUUAUAUAUUAUGAGUGUAUUCUCACCCCUUUGUUGUUUGUAUGGUUUUAUGCUCCUUCUUAGGGUACAGACAAGCAGGUAAAUGUAGUUGCUUAGUAGAUGAAGGAUGUCGUUGAAUAUGUUCUUCUUUUCCUGUUUUAUGUGAUAUUUAGAGUUUUGUUGCUAUGAUAUGUAACACUGUUGUCGCAUUACGCGAAAAACCGGCGGGAAAAAGAAACAGAGCCGCCAUUGUGCGUUAUUUAUCCCAAAGGAGGGAAAGGAAACGCUCGAAGUAAACCUGGAAAGGAAAUGAUCUCACGACCAGAGAUUGAUAGGAUCGGGAGUCGGUUAUGCGAAGGGAAGGUAUUAACACCCCUACGCAUCCGUCGUACUCGACGGGAUCCACGCUCAAAAGAGUAGAAGAAAGGUUGCUAAAUAACUGCUCAAACACUGCACACAACUGGAGACACAGAUGAAAGACGGAGGAAAGGGACUCGGCAGGAUAUCGCAUCCUGGGCCUACGUAGUUUGUUAGACACAAACAUCAGAGUCGACUUAGUUCGGGGAUAGGGGAAACGUGCUCGCUAGGAUGUCGCAUCCUAUGCAUACGUAUCUUCUCUAACCAGAGAAAGAAUCAGAGCACUCGUAGCUCGGAUAACGCACGCCAAACAAAAUGCUAAACGGAGAUGCUGAGACGUCAAAGCAAACACACAACUGGAAACGGAAUGUCAAUCGCUGGUCUUACAUCCAACUCCAGACACACAAAGCAAAACAGGAAACCGACUGCCAAUCGCUGGACUUAUGUCAGACUCCAAACACACACACACACAGGAAACCGAAUGCCAAUCGCUGGACUCACAUCAGACUCCUACCAGAAAGGGAUAAACAACUCACACAAAAAGAAAAGAGAGCGAAAGGGCGCCCGGAGAGAUCAGCUCAUCUCCUGCCUACGUACCUCAUCUGGUAUGAGGAUCAGGGCGACGUAGUUCCCCUUAACAGGGAAAGGACUUCUAUCCUAACCAGAGACUAGGGAGAUAACAAGCUACUAGGGAGACUACGACUCGAGCCUAGAAGUUGUCAUGCAUACGAUCCCUAUGUUGAGGUCUCUAAUCCUAACUUGCACAGGAAGCAAGCUAGCCUAAACUGCACAUCAGCAAACACAAGCACAGAGAGCAAGCACACACACUAUAUGCAAACAAGUGGCUCAUACAAGGCUGGGCUUUAGUCAAGGGGUCAAAUCAACCUCGACAAACAAGCAACUAGAAAGGGUGUUUUGAGCUCUUAACCCUAACAUUGAGAGUUAGGGAAGCAGAUGAAGUGGCGAUGAGGGUUAUGCCUCAUAGCUCUUAUCCCUGGCCUGGGAGAGCUUUUAAUCAAUAGAAAGUGUGGGAGUUCAGAAUGAAGGAACUCUUCUCCACAAAUGACUGACUCUAUGGACAAGAUUUUGGGUUUUUUAUUCAAAGUGCAUCAACACAUGGUGUGAGCAAAGUGAAUGAGACAACUGAAUAGCAGGGGAUGGAUUGCACAUCCCUUCUAUCUGCCAAUUGCCUCUUCACUUAGGAGGUCUUUGAAUGUACAAGGCACAAAGAUAAACAACCACAAGCAUUGCCUCUUAAGGAGGGCUUCAGACAAGUUCCUGCCAAAGUAACAGCAGGUCUUCCAGACUACAUGAAGAUCAAGGAUUAUACCUAAGUGGUAUGCCAACCACAAGCAAAGCAAAGUUCAAAUGAACUCAAAGCAACUUAGGUACCUGUGUAAACAACUAAACAAAUCAGUACAGUAUUCAAACAAACAGACAAUAGUCAACAACAAACAGACAAUCCCAAUCAGACAACAAUGGUGCAAGGCAUAAGGUAAACUCAAGUGAAUUAUCAUCAACCUACAAAGCAAACAAAUGUUAGCAAUCAAUAGCAAAUAUCAACAUUCAGGUGAAGCAACAUCAACCAUGGAGAUUAGGUGCUUGGUCCUGAAAUUCAAAGCUCACAUGUAAGUACAAACCACUAGGUCAAAGCCUAGGGUCAAAGGUGAAGAAAAAAUUCAAAACAGGAGCUAAUAUUCAACACAAUGCAACUUCAAACACAUAUUAACAUGUCCUAAAAAGGACCAAAACAAACUCAUCAAGCAAAGGCAUAUAAUGUGCAAGAGAAGUCAAAGACAAUUUCAAAGCUCAUAUUUGGACAUUGAGAAUGAAAAUUCCAAAUCAAAACAGAAAUGAUUCAAAUAAUUCUGGAAAAAUUCAUGAGAAUUCAACACAUCCAAUACAAUCAUCAUACAAAAAUCAGAAGCAUCCAAGUUCAAAUGGCAUGGAAAUAAAAUGGCACAAGUUAGACAUCCAAAUGUGUGACACAAAUUGUCACACCAUACAAACAUGUGCAUAAAACAGAAAUGACAAAUGGGAAAAAUACCAAACCAAGCCUAAAACAUCCAUCAACAUGUCAAGAAUCAUCAUGCAAAAUUUCAUGGCAAUUGGAUUAAAAUCAAGCAUUUCAUGAUAAGAUGAAUGGAGAAAGGUCACAAAUGUACACAUGUUCACAAAGUCUAGCACAAUCCAUAAUCCAGCCAUGCAUAACUUCAUAAUUUAACAUCAUAAAAUAGAGGACAUCUCAAGGGUCAAGUAGCAAAAAACCAGGGAUUUUUUGGAGCAUUUUUCAAUUUAUUAUGAAUUUUUAAAGUUGGAUAAAAAUUUGAAAUCAAAAUAAUCAUGUACAUGGAAAAUAUGGAGGGAAUUGGAUAAAAUGUGAAUGUAUUUGAAAAAAUGAUGUGCGCCAGGAUCGAACCGUGUACGAAUUUGAAAGAAGCGCGCGCCAAUAUGAAACGCAGCCGUUUUGGGCAAAAACCCUAGCCAAAACCAGAGUGGACGCAAAACCGUCGCUAAGUCGUCGCUACAUCGUCUUCCUCGCGAAGACGAUGAUGAACAAUAUGAGCUUCAACAUAUUUUUCCAGAAUUUUCCAGAAUUUCAAAAAUCAUACAUCAUUUUAAAGCUCUUUCAACCAGGAAUUCGGAUCAACCAAUAACUAAUCCUAAUUCAACAUGAAUAGAGAGAAUCGAGCAAAAGAAGUUUGGUGCACAAAACUUUAUUCACACAUAUCUCAGUCAAUAAUGCAUCAUUUCAUGUGAAAUUUAGCUCAGAAUCAUCAGCAAAGAGAGAUCUACAAGAACAUGCUAAUGAAUUGCAAAAUUAUGAGGUUCGAAAACUUGACCUCUUAAGCAAAGAGAGAUCUACAAGAACAUGCUAAUGAAUUGCAAAAUUAUGAGGUUCGAAAACUUGACCUCUUGAAGAGCAGAUUCUUGAAAUGCACGAUUCCAGGCCUUGAAUGAUCCAAAUCCAAUCCAGAACACUUGUAAUGAUGUUUGAUGAAGGAAAGGAAGCUUGAAACCGUGUAGAUCUAGCUUAUCAAUCAACUUCCAUUCUUGAGUUCUUGCUUGAAUUAUGCAUGAAUUCUUACCAAAAUCAAAUGAUCCAAAGCUUGAUUCUCCAUCUACUACACUCAAUGAUUCAGAAUAUCAAAGAAAAAUGCAAGGUUAUGUGAAGAAAUUGCAAGUUUUUGUUGAGAGGAAAAUUUUGAUAUGAGAUGAAAACUAGAUCUAAAAUGGUGAAAAAUGAUUAAGCCCCCUGAAAUUCUGUUAGGUUUAAGUAUUUAUAUGCUCUCUUAAUCACAUUGCUAAUCCAUACUUAAUUUGGUUAAUUGAAAUUAGGCAAAAUAAGGUGUUUUGACAAAAUUUCAAAAAUGCAUGGUGCAUGUAGUAAACCCACGUGAACAGUGUCAUGUGCUUGAUCAAAGUCACUCAAAAUCAUUUUUAAACACAUGGCAAUGUAAAAGAGGUUCCCAUGAUGGAUCAAUUUUUACAAUUUCCAGUUCCCUCAAAAUACAUGGAAUAGCAAAUGAUCAUAUGAUGGAAAUUCAUGCAAUGUGAUGAAUGGUUUGGAAACUUCAUGUCAUGACAAGCAUUUUAGAAAAAGAGGCACCAAAUUUGGAGUUAUGAAUCAAAAGUUAUGUCCUCUUGAAGUUCCAUGCACACUUGGAAAUAAUUGGAUCAUAUCUCCUCAACUAUUCAUCAGAUGCUCAUGAUCUUGGACUUUUUGGAAAUGGGAGAGAAAUACCUUCAACUUUCAUGUUGGACAAAAUUUAAUUUGAAGCUUAUUUAAUGUUGGAAAGUCAAGUUGAAGUUGGUCCAAAAACUUGCCAUUUUUGGAAACUUGAAAUUAUAGGUCACUUUCCAUUUUGGGAAACUUUUGAUCUGGCUUCAAAAUCUUCAAGGUAUGAGUUUGAUAUGAUGAAUAAACCUCCUUUGGACACUAAUGAAGUGUCUCAACCCAUCUCUCCACCUCCUAGCCCUCUGUUGACUUGCAGUUGACUUUUAUGGGUCCCAGAUGACCUGAAACUGCACUGUGGACUUUGAGCCUCUAACACUUGGUCAAGUUGCUUCAAAAUGAACCUUGGGUUCACAUAAGCUCUCUAAAACAACCAUAGGGCCUUUUUCUCAUGGAAAUGCUUGCUCCUUGGUACUGAUGAAUUCUCCUGAUGCCAGUCUUGACUGAUGAGAUGCAAUGUACUAUGCAAUGUUAAUGUAAUGUCAAUGUGAUGUCAAUGACCUAAAAAUGAAAUGAAUGCAUGAAUGGGGGGUGAAAUGUACGGAGCAAGUUUAUGUUGUGUUUGAGUGACACCUUAUAUGUGUAGUUGUUUUAUAUUCGUGUUAUUUCAUGUUUCGGGGUUUAGUGUGUUACAUAGUAUGACCACGUGCGAGGCGACUUCAUAUCACAACCAAGGAGUCAUACCGCAAUUGACUUUAAUAUCUGAUGUUUCAUUGUACGCGGUAAUCUCGAGAUCGCAAGGAUGUAACUCGAAUCCAAAAGGAUAAGUGGUAGUCAUACUCCACCAAAAGUUUUUCAUCCUUGUAGAUUGUCAGCAUACCACUCUGAGAGAGAGAGAGAGAGAAGAAAGGCACAAUGGAGAUAAAUCAUCCUCUGAGCAAAAAAGGGACUCUUUCUCCAUACAUAUUCUUGACAGCAUGAUCCUGAGGUCCCUUGAAAAUCCCCCAAAGCUAGAAAGUUACGAUGGUACGGGGUACACGGACGAACAUGUCAAACAUGUAGACAACGAAUUCGAUUAUUACCACGUCCAAGGAGUUAUGAAAUGCAAGUUAUUCACAUUAACCAUUAAAGGAUCUAGUAUGACCUAGUUUAAAACCAUCCUAGGAAAAAGCAUGGAUUCAUGGAAGGAACUUUGUGACUCAUUCACUUUUUAAUUUACCACUCAAAAUUGACAACCCACCACCGUAGCCAUAGUCAGUAGGAUCACACACAAGAAUAAACAGACCAUACGAGAGUACAUAGAUCAAUUUACCAAGGUAACAGAGGAAGUAUAAUGUAUAUAUUAUGGAUAAAAAAUUGGAUAUUAAAAAAACUGAGGCCAAAUUGCAUGUUUCAAGAAAAACUAAGGCUCAAGAGACCUACUGAAUAGGCUCCAGCCUUGGAUCAACUACUAGGAAGAGCUCUUAGCCAAAGAGAAAACUAGGGAAUAAUAGAUCUUGGAUAUGACCGGGCAUCAUAAAAAGACACUAACCAUCGUAGAGACGACAGAGACUAAAGAUCGUCGUGGGAGAAAACCUGGCAGGAAUGCACAAAUACUAAAUUCAAAUAAGGUGAGAUCAAGAACCUCUGUCCAGUUAAAGAGUCAUCUAAGACAAAUAAGUCAAAAUAAUGUUAUUUACAUAAAUGUCACGACCACAACACUAAUGAAUGCAUCCACCUAAAAGAUAUAAUUGAAUAUUUGGUCAAAAUGGGACUACUCACCUGAUAAUACCCAGGAAGGAGGUCGGAGAGAAAAUCGAGACUUAAAGAGAGGUCAUAAGGGGUUGGAUGAGUCUCCAGGGAAGAAACGAUCAUCUCAGCCAGAGAAAUAAAGAUAGUAGCAACGAGGAAGAUGAAGAUCAAAAAGGGAGGAAAAAAAGGUACAUCGCUUCCAUUACUAGAGGCUUUCCCAUAGAAAAUACCAUUCCAAUGGGACAAUGAAGAUUAAGAUUACUGAAUUAUUGGAAAUUAGCAAAGAGGGAGAAAUAACUCCUGGCAGGAACCCAUAAAGGAUUAUCCUCAUAUUCAUAUAUAAUGUAAAGGUAGGCGGAAUCCCAAACUAGAUUUCCCCAUUGGUGGUAACGAUUACCAUGACCAACUUUGAUGUAUCCAGGACCCUUAUUGACAGGGGGGCUCUUGCUACAUUGUGUACGAAGAGCUUUUAGAAAUACUUGGACUAAGAAGGGAGAAGUUGUGGUUGUAUGAGGAAUCCUACCUACAAUUCUUUAACGACAUGUAACUGACCCAUGGGGGUAUAUUGAGUUGAUGGUUACCCUGAGAGAAUGGAGAGUCACCAAAAUGAUCUGUUGGACAAGUGACUUCAAGUGUAACACCCUACUUCCUGAAUCGACAAAUAAUAGAAUAAAACAGGUAUAACACUUAUAUCCUCCAAAGUAGGAUGCUACUCAACAACAAUUAACUCAUAUUUGAACCACAAAAUUAAAAUCAACUUGUUUGAUAAGCAGCGAAAAAUUAGAAAAUGGUUGGCAUAAAAGCCUCAAUAACCAAAAGUUUGGAAAAUGGUUCAAUGUUAAAAGCAAAUGAAGAUAUGCAACAUGAAACAAAUAAUAGAACAAGUUGUCCCCUCUUGUUACAUAUUAGAGUAACUCCAACUAUAGACUCUAACAGCAAGCAACUAAAGAGGAAAAACAUUAUGCUCAAGCUUAAGCUCCUACUUGGGUAUUUGAUCAUCUGUACUUCGGAGGAGCACAGACGCAAAAACACAAAAAGGGGGAGAGAAUAUAUUCAAAUGAUAAAUGAUGCAUAAAUAAUUAGGAUAGAUUUGCACACUAUAAAAUCAUCCACAUAUUAGAAAUGCACAUCAACAUCAUGUAUUCACAUCUCACUCACAUCACAGUCAAACUCACACAAUCAUACAAGAGUAUUCAUAAAUACACAAACAUCUCAUUUUCAUAAUUAUUAUAUAUUGCAAAGAAUAGCUAGUCCGUUUAAUGUAUCAAGUGUGACUUAAUCAUGAGAUCUCAUUAAACACGAGGACACUAUUAAAGUAUCUAUAGUUGAGCUUUGUUGUGAAGUGGGAUAACAUUAAAUCAUUAAGACUAUUAUGUAUAUAGACUGAUGAUCACAUCUCAUAGAUCAUGGAUAAGGAGUUAAGUCUUAAACAUAUGUAUGAAUAUUAUGAGUAAUAUUUAUACUGGAUUGACCCGCUAUGAGAAUACUACAUAGAAUAUUAUGCAAAGUGUCAUAAGCUAUUCUCAUGGUGAUAGUGGUGUAUACCACCCUUCGACCUAAAAUCAUUAUGGACCCUAGAUGUAGAGUCGAGUGCUUUAUUACUGAUCAAACAUUGUCCGUAACUGGAUGACCAUAAAGACAGUUGAUGGAUACUCCACGAAGCAUGUUAAGGGACAUGAGUGGCCUAAAUGGAAUUUGCCCAUCCUGCAUAACAGGAUAAAUAUCUAAGGGCCCAAUAUUGAACUAGAAAAGGAUGAUACGGUAUAUGCCUUGUGUCCAAUAUAGACAUAAGAGAAAAAGGGUAAUUGUACACACAAGUAUUAUCACAAAAAGGGAUUUGUCGUAUCACAUGACAUUUUUGUGUCUUGGGUAGCAGUGAUGUGUUUCUAGAUACCGCUUAUUGUUUAUUAUGUUAAAUACAUGACUUAAUAUAAUUAUCAAUGUCGCGAAAACCUACAGGGUAACACACAAAAGGACGGAUUGAUGAGAGAUAGAGUAAAUAAGGAACACCAUAAGGUAAGGUGCACUUAAGUGAAUUGUAGAACAUCAUAAGGUAUGGUGAACUUAAGUAUAAUACAAAAUAUGGUAAGGUACCACGCGCUUAAGUGAUUUUAGGUAUACCAUAAGAUAUGGUCCACAUACACUUAAGUGGGCUUUUUAGCUUGCAGCCCACACAAGUGGUUAUAUAAAUAGAACCCUUGUGCAAAAGCAUUUCACUUGAUGAAAUUUUAUUUCUCUCUCUCUCUCUCUCACUCAAAGCCUUCAUUCGUAGCAGCUAGCACUGAGACUGAAGGAAUUCGUUUGUGUGGACUGAGUAGAGGCGUUGUCACCAUUCAACGCUCGUGAUCACUCCUUAGAUCUGCAUCAAAGGUUUCAAUCGCAAUAAGAGGUAACUGUUUCUAUCAAUAAUCAUGUCCAUUCAUAAGGAUCACCAAAGGAAAAAUUUUAAUUUCCGUUGCGUUUUCGAUCGCAAUUUUCCUUCAUGAAGAACUCCAGCUUUCCCAUCAUACUCAUCUCUAACUCAGCAUGCAUUGUCUUUGAAAAUUCUUGGCAAAGGAAGGCAUUAGUUGAACCAAAUAUAAUAUCAUCUACGUAAACUUGGACAAUUAAGAUAUCAUUCUUAAGUUUCUUUUUGAAGAGUGUAGUGUCAACUUUCCUUUUCUGAAAGCCAUUUUCUAGCAAAAAAUUACUCAGUCUCUCAUACCAAGCUCUAGCAGCUUGUUUGAGUCUAUUAAGUGAUUUCUUAAGUUUGAAAACAUAGUCUAGGUGGACUGAAUCCUCAAACCCAAGUGGCUCUUUGACAUACACUUAUUCAUAAAUAACUCCAUUUAAGAAUGCACUCUUAACAUCCAUUUGUUAAAAAAUAAUGUCAUGAUUAAUAACAUAAGAGAGCAGUAACCUGAUUGCUUCAAACCUUGCAACUGGUUCAAAUGUUUCAGAGAAAUCUAUACCUUUUUUGUGGUUGUAGCCUUGAGCUACCAGUCUAGCCUUAUUUCUUACCACUUCUCCUUGCUCAUUGAACUUGUUUUUGAAUAUCCAUUUUGUUCCAACAAUGUUCUUCUACAAAGGUUUGGGUACUAGAUCUCAGACAUCAUUUCUUUGAAAAUUAUUCAACUCUUCUUGCAUUGCCACAAUCCAACCAUCAUCAGAAAGUGCUUCAUCAACAUAAGUGGUUUCAUUCAUGGAGAUUAGUCAUAACAUUGAAUGCUCUGCUCUAAAUGCAGACCUUGUCUUUCUAAAACUAUCUUUGUUUCCAAGAAUUAACUCUUAUGGAUGAGAAGACUUGUACUUGAAAGUCUUCUUGAUUUGUGAUGCAUUUGAGGAGCCAUCUUGAGCUUAUUUAGAAUAUUUAACCUAUGGAUGAGCCUCUGAGGUUGGAUUAACUUCUGGACCACUAGAUUUUGAAGUUAUGAUAACUUCUGAACAUCCAACGUCUAAUGAAUUGUUAGCUUCUGAACUUCCAGCUUCUGUACCUAUAGCUCCUGAUGUGUCUUCAGAUACAUAUAUUUUUUGAAAAAAAAUUAAACUAGCUCUAAAUAUGAUUAUUAGGCUCUUUGUCAUCAAAUUUUAUGUGUAUUGACUAUUCAUCCAUAUUGGUCUUAGAGUUAUACACCAUAUAUUCCUUUAAACGUUCAGAGUAUCCUAAAAAGAUACCCUUAUGAGCUUUGACAUCAAAUUUCUUCAAAUAGACUGUAUUGUUUAAGAUGUAACAUGUACAUCAAAACUGAUGAAAGUAAGAAAUGCUUGGCUUUCUUCCCUUGAACAACUCAUAUACAGUCUUGUUCAGAAUAAGUCUAAUAUAGAUUAUAUUAUGAACAUAACAUGUUAUGUUUACAACUUCUGCCAUCAAGUACUUAGGUAAGUUAUUUUCAUGGAUCAUAGUUCUAGACAUUACUUGUAAAAAUUUAUUCUUUCUCUCUACGAAUCCAUUUUGCUGUGGAGUUCUAGGAGAAGAGAACUCAUGGAGAAUUCCAUGUUUUUCACAAAAAAAAAUCAAAUGGCUCAUUUUCAAAUUCACCACCAUGAUCACCUCUUACCUUCAAAAACUUUAUUUCAUUUUCUAUUUGUACUUGUAUGCAGAAGAUGUUGGACACAUCAUAUGAUUCAUACUUGGUUCUAAGGAAUUAAACCCAAGUCCUUCUGUUAUACUCAUCAACAAUGACUAGUCCAUAUUUAUUCCUAUUGAUUGAUGCAACACUAACAGGACCAAACAAAUCAAUGUGAAGUAGUUCUAAGGGCCUGGAGGUAGAGACAACGUUUUUAGUUUUGAAAGAAGUGUUACUAAUUUUUCGACUUGCUAAGUUUAGAGAUUAAUCUCCAGUUAGCAUGACCUAACCUUUUGUGCCAUAGCCACUUCUCAUCACUCACUAAUAGAAGGUAGAGUACCUUCUGAUCAACCAAUUCAUGAAAAUUAAUUUAAUAAACAUUUCCUUUCCUCCUACCUUUGAAUAUUAUGAACUUGUCAAAUUCAUUCAUGACUAUGCAGUUGUUCUUAUUAAACAUGACUUCAUAACCAAUGUCACAAAACUUACUAAUGCUCAGUAGGUUAUGUUUAAGUCUAUCUCCAAGCCAAAUAUUAUUAACUGAGAUAGAGGAGUUACCAGUAGUACCCAUACCAGUGAUCUUUCUUUUCUGAUUUCCUCUAAAUCCCACAGUUCCUCCCCCUUUCUGAGUUAGGGGUUUUGAACAUAUGCCUUUCUCCUGUCAUAUGUCGUGAGUAACCAUUGUUCAGGUACAAUGAUUGCUACUUUGCUUCUCUCUUGAAGCAUAUAUGUAGCAAAAACAAUUUGAAAUUUAGGUACCCAUAUGAUAAGGCUUAGCAUUAUUCAAAACUUUUGAUUUAGAGUUUGUUGACUUGAAUAAACCUUAGCAUUAGGUUAUGAACCUUUCAGAGCCUUAAAUUCAGAUAUCUUAGGUUCUGGCUUCUUUAGAACCUUUGACUUUAUAAUCUUAGAUUUUGAUUUCUUCAGAACUAUUGACUCAGCAACUUUAGGUUUUGACUGAUUCAGAACCUUUGCAUUCUCAGUACCAGGUGCAAAAUAAUAUUCAAGCCCUUUCUGAACAGAUAUUGAAGAAGAAUGAUAUGUUGGUUUACUCAAGGUUCCAAACCUUGAAUUAAAAGGUUUCUAUAAGUAACCAAAACCUACCCCGUUGCUUUUACUUACUCCAUAAACCAUGGAAGAAAGUUUAGUUCUAUUAAAAUCAAUUAUGAUAAAUCCUUGAAGAUCCAUUUCAUGAUCAUCAAGAGGUUAAUCAGACACUUCCUUUACUAGAUAAAUACGAUAUUUCUCUAGAGAUUCAUUUUUACUUUGAACAAAAUUUAAUUCUUCCUUCAAAAGAUCAUAUUGCUUUUUAAAUAUUUUCAUGUGUCUGACUUUUUCUUGACAUCUUCCCAUGGAUAUUGAAUGAAAGUAAUAAAAUCAGAACGAGAUAGUUUAGAAAAUACCUUAUCCUUUUCCUCGGAAUUUGAACCAAAACCUGAGUCAUAUUAUGCUUCAGAAGAUGUAAGAUCCAUCAAAGCAAAGUUGGCUUGCUCUUUAUCCUUUUUAGAGUCUUCUUCAUUGCCAAGUUCAUCCCAUGUUGCCAAGAGAAUUUUAUUGAACUUAUUUAUGAAGCUUCCCUUCUUUGACUUGUCCUUUUGCACUUCGGGACAAUCAACAAUGAAGUGACUAGACUUCUUGCAGUUGAAGCAUCCUUUAUUAUCAUCCUUCUUUUCUAUGGAACUAGAUCCUCGGAAGCCACUACUUUUUACAGAGAAUAUUUUAUUCUUCUUAGCCAAAUAUUGAAACCUUUUAAUGAUAGAGGUCAUUUCCUCAUCAUCUGAGUCAUCUUCAGAACCUUUUACAUGAAAAAAGCUUCGUCAGACUCCCAAACUUGAGGAGCCUUUGCAGUUUUAGUAACAUAUUUCAAAUCCAUAGGUUUUGGCUUCUUAACAAGUUAAUCUCCACUCAACUCCAUCUUAUGGCUCUGGAGAUUUCUGAUAAGACUUUCAAGACAUAAUGUGUUUAAGUCUUUAGUCUCCUGGAUAGUUUUCACUUUUGGUAUGUAUAUAAUAGGAAGACUCCUAAGAAUCAAACAACAAAAAAUUAAAAGUUGUUAAGAGUCCCACAUCGGACAAUAUAUGGCAUGAACAUCUGUUUAUAAGUGGGGGCAGUCCUCACUCUAUCAACCGGUUUUGUAGGGUUGAGUUAGGCCCGACCACAUUUCUUAACAUGGUAUCAGAGCCUCGUUUAAGAUCCGGUGGGCCACCUACUAUGGUUUCCGCUAUCGGGUCAUCCACCAUUUAUUUCCCACGCUCCAGAUGUCCAGUCCUGGGCAUGAGGGGGUGUGUUAAGAGUCCCACAUCAGACAAUAUAUGACAUGAACAUGUGUUUAUAAGUGACGACAGUCCUCACUCUACCAACCAGUUUUGUAGGGUUGAGUUUUAAGAGAAGUGAAAUUACAAUAUUUACUAUGAUGUAUCAAAUUUAUUUUGCAUUUACUGAACCAUUGAAAAACUCAUAUUUAUUUUUUAUUUUAUAAUUUAUUUAAUAUAAUAUUAAUUAUAUAUUUUAUUUAUUUUAAAAUAAAAUGAGACCCUUUAAUUUAGAAGUUUUUAACUAUUAACCGUCUUGUCCUUACUCAUAAUUGAUCCUAUUAGAAUAAACAUUUGAGAAUAAAAGUGAAUAAAAUUGCUAGCACGAAUCCUUACUAAAUCAUGCACUUUAAUCAAUUUAUUUUAAAAAAAAAAAUUAUUAGAGAUAUGUUUCGCACAUGUUUUCAGAAAAAGUUAUUAAUAAUCUUAUUACUAUUGUAAAACAUUGUCUUAAUCAUCUGGAAAAAAAAUUAGAACACAUAAAUCAACUCAAAUUCAAUAACAUACAUAUAAACUUUGCAACAUAAUUUGUAGGCAUAAAUGUUUUUAUUCAAAGUACAUCCACCUUAUUCAUUGGACACAUGUAUUCAUCCACGUAAGAAUUUACUAUACUAAAAUAUUUUGAUAUCAAAUGAUGACCCUAAAUCAAUUGAAAAUGUUCAUAAUUUCAUUAGAUUAAAUGUAAUGUUGAUGGCCGCAGGAUCGGCUCAAUUAAGCUCCGUUUUAACUUAAAAAAUUGACUAAAAUUAAAAAAUAUAUAUAAUUAUAAUAAUUAAAAAAAAAACACAUUACAAAUACAAUUUUGUAUUAAUAAAGAAAUAGUUUUAAUUAUAAUUAUUUUGAGUUGGAUUAAUCUCAAUUUUUAUAUGUAUUGGAUUUUAUUUAUUUAUUAAAUUUUUAUUAUAAUUUUGUUUAUUUUUAUUAAUAUUUAUAAAAAAAAAUAGACUUUCAAAUUUUGGAGUCUUCAAAAUUUUGAGGCCAUGUGUUAUAAGUUUGCCAUGUGUUAUAAGUUUGUUGGACUCCUAUUUAGAUGCAUUCUCAGAACAUUGCAACAUCUUUUUAAGAGGAACUUCCAAAUGUCAUUUUAGCACUAAAGCAUGCUUUUAUCAGAGAGUGAAAUCAAUUAUGACUUAAAAGUGAUUCUCUUAGUAUUAUAUGAGAUUCUAAGUUCUAAUGUCAUAAAAUUUAAACAGAAUCAAAUCAAAGAACAACGGAUUAAUUUGGAUUAGAUUAAUCGAAAAAAAUAUUUUGUUUAUAUCAACUCAUUAGUUGCUAAUAUUUUUCGUUUCAUAGGUUAUAAAUGUCACAUAUAUAGCAUUUUAUUUUUUUCUUGUUGAAGUAGAAUAUCUUACAUUAGAUUGAUAACGGUAUUAAAUUAAUAUAGUUGAUUCAAUUAGUGUACUUAAUUUUUUGUUUUUGUUAAUUUUUGUUAAUAUUCUAUUAAUUGAUAAGAUUCUUCUCCCAUUUUUCUUUUGUAUUUUUCAUUCAUUUAUGCAUGUUCAAUUUAAUUACUAUUUUUAAAUUAUCUCAUGCAAAGCAAGAGACAAAAAAAUAAAAGCAAAACGUGUACAAAACUCAAGUGACCAUCCAUUAUGACGAAUGGAGUACAUGUAACAUCAGCUUUAGUCAAAAAUUGGAUCAAAAGCAAUAGAAAAACUUGAGAUAAAACUGGCGACCGAAGUUUAUUUCAAAAAGUUCUUGAUUAGAGAUUGAUAUUUGGCACCUGUUUAGGCUGUUACCAAUAUUCACAAACAAAUUAUACCAAAUCUUCAUACACACACAUUGCUGUCCAAAACCAAACAUUUUUUUGAGUUAAUCAACAUAGGCAUCAAUAUAUGGGGUAGAAUAUGCUUUUUUGACAUUGAUAUGAAGUGACAUGCAUUGAUCAUACAAACAUAGAUAACUUUUUUUAUAUUGCUGCGGCAAAAAAAAAAUCCAUAAACAAGAAGAAAAAAAAUAGACACGAGAUUAGAAGUUUUGAAAAAUAGUAGAUAGAGGCAUAGGCUGAAAACUCCCACGACAGAUAUGACUUAGGCCUUCUCCCAUUUAAGAGGCUUCACCACUUCCCAUGUGAAGUCAGGGUCUUCCCUGCCAAAAUGACCAUAAGCAGCAGUCUUCAAGAACCUGCCAUUUCCACCCCUCAAGAGAUCGAGGUUGAUAGAGAUCAUGCCCGGCCUGAAAUCAAAGGUUUCCUUCACAAUCUUGAGGAUCUCCCUAUCAGGUAUCUUCCCUGUUCCAUAUGUGUCAACAAAGACAGACAACGGCUCAGGAACACCAAUAGCAUAGGAGACUUGCACAAUGGCCCUCCUUGCAAGUCCACUUGCAACAAUGCUCUUAGCAGCCUGCCUCACAAUGUAAGCUCCACUCCUAUCAACCUUGGUUGGGUCCUUUCCUGAGAAGGCACCACCACCGUGUGCACCCCAUCCACCAUAAGUGUCGAUGAUGAUCUUCCGGCCAGUGAGACCAGCAUCACCAUGAGGACCUCCAAUAACAAAACGGCCAGAAGGGUUCAAGUGGAAAAUGGUCUUUGAAUCAAGGUACUUCUCUGGAAUCACAGGCUUGAUAACAUGUUCUUUGAGAUCAGCAGCAAUUUCAUCAUUGGUAACAGUCUCAUCGUGUUGAGUAGAGAUGAGAACAGUGUGGACACGAAUAGGAACCAUGGCACCCUUGUCAUUGUAAUACUCAACAGUGACCUGAGUCUUACCAUCAGGUCUCAACCAAGCACAAGUACCAUUCUUACGAACCUCAGUCAAACGAGCACCGAGCUUGGUUGCAAGAACAUGACUCAAAGGCAUCAACUCAGGAGUCUCAUCAGUAGCAUAACCAAACAUAUGACCCUGGUCACCGGCACCAAUUUCCUCAGGCUUCUUGGUGAAAUGACCAUGCACACCCUGAGCAAUAUCAGGACUCUGCUGCUCAAUAUUCACAAGAACCUUGCAGUUGUCAGCAUCAAGACCCACAUCUGCAGAAACAAACCCAAUAUUCCUGCAGGUGUUACGGACAAUCUUCUCAUAAUCAACAUUAGCCUUGGUUGUGAUCUCUCCAAAAACCAUAACCAAGUUAGUCUUGGUGCAGGUUUCACAUGCAACCUUGCUGUCUGAAUCCUGUUCAAGACAAGCAUCUAGAAUAGCAUCAGAGAUCUGAUCGCAAAGCUUGUCAGGGUGUCCCUCGUUCACAGACUCAGAUGUGUAUAGAAACGUCUCUGUUGCCAUCUUUAGUAGCUGCAAAAACAAACCCACUCAAAAAUUAACAACAAAUCCACACAUAAAUCAAGCACAAACAUAACCCUAACUCUACUAAAACCCUAAAUCUCAUGACCCAUCUCAAAUCAAAAUCAAUGCUUAACCAUUUACAAUAUUCAGCUAACAGACAAAAAUAAUCUAAAAUUUAACACACAAUCAUCAAUUUCUUUAAGAUCAAAGCAUAUUAGCAUUCAAAUUCUACUAGAUCUGAAACUGUAGCGGACCAAUUAACUUCAAAUUAGGUUAACCGAACAAAAUAAAAGAUAAAACCCGUCAGUGAAACAAAACUUAACCUAAUUUCAAUAGAUAACAAAACAAAAAAUAAAAAUAAGUAACUCAAAUAGCGAAAUGACAUCUACGCAUACAUCUACUUCAUCGUGAAAAUCAAAACAAAAGCAAAAUGAAGAAAAAGCAAAAGUACCUUGAGAGGUAGUAGAAGAAGAUUAGAGAGAAAUUGUUGCUUCGCUUGAACUUGUUAUUGUUGCGGUGCGAAGCUGUACGAGUUGUAAUGUGAGGAUUGAGACUCCAAUUUAUAGGAAAAUUUUCACAAAACUGUGAAAAGGUUGGCAGGUUUGGAAAGAGAAUGACGCGUGAAUGAGGUUUGAUUUCUGGGUUAGGUUCAUCCAUUUGCAUGUGCGACUCUUCUGCGAAACGGACGGUUAUGAUUUGGAUUUGAUUAAUCUCAACCGUUGCUGGAUUAGGAAAGAGGUUGGUGAGUGAAUUCAAGUGUAAGUAAAGGUGGAUUCCACACUGCAACAGCUAUCUUGCUUCUUCAAAUCCUAUUUCUUUUUUUAAACAAAAAAAGAAAUUGGUUUGGUAUGGUAAAUAAAUAUUUAAAAUGUUUUUAAAUAUCAAAAUUUUAUAUAAAGUCAAUUAUAUAUGUUUUUGUUAUAAAGUAGGAGUAUUUUAAUAUGAGUCAAUUACAAUUUGAUUUUUAUUAUAAUGUUAAAAUAUAGUUUUGGUCCAUAUACUUUAGUUUACAAAUUCUAAAAUGUAUAAUAGUUUUAGAAUUUGUUUGGUUGUAGUCAUCAUAUCAUAGGUGAAAUUGGUGAAUGGAUCUCAAGAUUAAUUUUCAAGUCAUUAUUAUAAUAAUUAAUAACUUUUUUAAUAUUAAAAAAUAUUAAAAUAAAAUUUUAAACAUUAAAAUUGAAUUGAAUAGCUCAAUUGAUAUGUAUUUCUUUUGUUUUUAUUUAUAAGAAAAAAAUGACUUUUUAGAUUUAUUUAAUAAUUAAUUUAUCUUGUUUUAUUAUAUUGUCUAUAUAUAUUGAUUAUUCAAUAAACUUAAAAAAUAAAUUUUCUCAUAUAAAUAAUACCGGAGAAAGGACUACCUCUAUUCCUUUAUAUAAGAGACAAUUCAGUUUUUAAGUUCAUUUAAUAAUCAAUAUAUAUAGUUCAUUAUAGAUACAUUGAUUAUUUAAUGAACUUAAAAGGUAAUUUUUUUUUAUAAAUAGAAUCAGAGGUAGUACUAUCUGUUCCUUUAUAUAAGAGACAAUUCAGUUUUUAAGUUCAUUAAAUAAUCAAUGUAUUGAUUGAUUUAUAGACUAGAUACAUUAAUUAUUCAAUAAAUUUAAAAAAUGAUUUAUCUCUUAUAUAAAGUGUAUAGUAUUAUUUAAGUUAAAGAUUAUUGUUGAUAUUUAUAAAUCAACCACUUUUUAAAAGAAAAUCUCAAAUAUUAAAAAAAAACUCUUUAAAAUAAAAAUAUAAAAAAUAAAAUCUCAAACAUUAUUAAAAAAAAACAAAAGGAAACACUAAAUUAAAAGUUUUAAACUUUAAAAUAAAAUUAAAAAAAUACAUUAAACUAAACCUUAAACAUUCAAAGUUAAUUAAAAACUAAUCAUCUAAUUUGGUUCUAAUUAAAAAACUCUAACAUUAAUAAUUCCAAAUCAAAAUAAAAAAUCUCCUUUUUCACCAUUUUUUAUUUGUCACUCAUCUUCUUCAAAAUCAGGUUGUACAAAAAUCUUCUUCCUUCAUAAUUUGACUAAGUUUUAAAAUUAAAAAAAAUCAUAAAUUAAUGGUUUCAAAUCAAAAUAAAUAAAUAAAUCAUUCUUCAACAUUUUUCAUUUGUUAUUGAUGCUCUUCGCAUCAUCUGAUAAGUUUUUAAAAACUCUUCAUUCAUAAUUUGAUUGGGAUUCAAAUCGAAAAACUUUCAAAAAUUAAUCAUUCCAAAUCAAAAUAUGAAAACAUCUAACAUUAAUUUGAGAUAUUUUAAUAUUAGAUAUUUGAACGUUAAUCUGCAUGGAGCCUUUUGUUUUCGUCGCUUCCACGUCACCACCAUUGGUCAAGCCACCAGAUGGAGGUACAUCUAAGCCUCAUAGAUCCUCGUUCCGAUAUAUUCUCACCGAAGGCCAUGGAUCCACUGCUAUAAAGGAAAGAGAGGGCUUGAUUGAAAAGAGACUUAUGAAAGUCUUUCUUGGAAGCUUUUCCUCAUCCAAAGGUCACGAUGGAUGAGAAGCUUUUCCAACAACCGUUCAAUCCUUGGAAGAAGACGUUAGUCAUCAAACUCACUGGAAAGAAUAUGGGUUAUCAUUUGAUGAAGAAUAGGUUGAAAAAGAUGAAGGUGAAAAAAACACAAGAAAUAGUUUGAAUUGUGUUAACUUUUACUUUCUUUUCAAAACUAUUAGUCAUAUUCUAAACACAAAGUAUAAAAUAUGAACUAAUCAAAGAUAAGAGAUACGUAUCGUAUAAAUAAUGUAAGAAAGAAGAGAGACACAGAAAGUUAUCUUGGUUGCUCUCACAACCGAGAGUAAUCCAGUCCCCUUAUACUUACAAAAUAUUUUCACUAUAAUCAUACAAGAUUAUAAUUUGCUCAAACAUACAAACAAGUGACUUUCAAUGCUCAAACACAAAGUAAGAGACUUUUAUGCUCAUACACACAAACAAGAGACUUUCAAUGCUCAAACACACAAGCAGUAAACUUUUAUGCUGAAACAUACAAGCAAGAGACUUAAAAUGCCCAAACACUAAGUAAGAGGCUUCUAAUAAUCUACCUAACAGAUAAAAGAUUGUUUGGGGUAAUACACUUGAUAUACACUCAUAGAUAUAGACAAAAUACAACGCAAGAAGAACUCUUUAAGACUUAGAGAUUUCUAGAAUAUACAAAGGUAAGAAAUCCUAAGUUAAACUUGUCUUAUUGUUUUAACAGAGUAGCAACUCUUUGAAUGUCAAUAGUUCAUUAGUGUUCUUCAAGUCUUCAUUUCCUUAAAUAGAGAAGGAAAAGAGACGUUGAAGAUCUUGCACAACAAAGUCUUUUAGAAGAUUGAAUAGAGACGUUGAGAUGUUUCUUUAAAUGGUUAAUGUCUUUGAAAACUUGUUUGAAGUUUAUUUACUACAAUAGGAAUUAUCAGUUUCUUUAAAUGGUUAAUGUCUUUGAAAGCUUGUUUGAAGUUUAUUUACUACAAUAGGAAUUAUCAGUUGCAUCUCAGUUAACUCUAUGAGAAAAAGCUUAGGUCUUCAUGUGACCAGAAGUAGACAGAGUAACCUCAGAGUCUAACAAUGACCUAUCAGAGUCACCUUAAUGUGACCAGAAGAAGACAAAGUAGCAUCAAAUUAUUUUUCAGAAACUUCCCAGCGGAACUCAAAAUAUCUUGAAACAUAAAAAUAAUUAUUUAAAGCAAAAUACUCAAAGAAAUAAACUCCAAACACCAACUAAAAACAAUUAAUACACCUCAUCCUCAAUGUUACAAAUCAGAGUAUAUAUACCAAUUAAGUAAUAAUAGGCGAUAAAAUAAAUGAAGAAAAUCUCCAUGGCUAUCUUCCAAUUCACAAGCAACUAUUUUUGUUAAGUACCUGAUUGCAUGUACUCUAGAGGAGCACAGGCGCCGUAACAACAAAAAGGGGGUGAGAAUACACCUUAUAAAAUAAAAAUUAGCAGCAGGAUGGUAAAUAUCAAUAAUCACAAAUACAUCAUUCACACAAAACACAAUUGAAACUAAAAUAGUGAUGCAAAUUCUAAUGCCACCAACUUCUUCAUCAAAUAUGCAUGUGGUACUGGGUUUCUAGGGUCAAAGGUAUGUUACUAAUUGCCCAUGUCUUCGGUUCCUCUUGAACUGUGUCCAUCUCUGGACAUGAGACUGUCAUAGUCCCUCUCUGAACCAUACCGUCACUAGACCAAAGUCUUACCUAACUCCGAAAUAUAUACAUGUAUGAAUAUGUAUAAACUAAGUAUACAACUCAUCAAUCAUCAAAAACAUCAUUAUCAUCAUAAAAAACAUCAUCAUAAUAAAUAUCAUUAUCAUCAUCAUCAAAAAGAUCAUUAUGAUAAUAUACAUCAUCAUGAUAAUAAACAUCAUCAUCAUUAAAAACAUCAUCAUCAUAAGGUUUCACUCUUGAACUCAUAUGUUAUGAAUCACAUGCUAUCACUGUAAUUCCUCCAGAUUACUAAUCUCCAAAAUUGUCAACCACAAGCUGCCACUGUAACCCUUUCAGAUUACCAAUCUCCAAAAAUACAGUUUUCAAAAUAUAUUCAUUUUUUAUCUUAAAAAGAGUAAAGUUAUUUUAUACUCAAAACUCUAACUCAUCAAAAAGUCUCAAAGUUUUAUUAUAUUAAUCAUAACUCAUCAGAGUCUCAAAAAACUCAAAAACAGCUAAACACCCCUCAACUCUCAAAAUGACUCUAGAGUAACCAAAAGUACUUUAAAAUAUUCAAACGUGCUCUAAAGACAACUCUUCAUGAGUGAUAACUCUACUAACUUUAAGGGUUGACAAUUUAACUCAAUUUUAACUUUUUUAGCUUAAUCGCCUUCAACAAAUAAAAAUAUUACUCAAAAGGUAACCUUAUAAUGUCAAUAGUGCUCCAAAUCAACUUAAGUGUAUCCUAUAUUCUGAUCUAUAACUCUAAACAAAUAAAAUAGGAUCCUUAAACUCAUUAAAAAGGUAACGAAAUGUCACCACGCUCAAAAUUGCUCAAAACUCUGGACCUAACUCUAAAAUUGUCUCACUUCAAAAUAACACAAAAUAUUAUAGAAUUAUGAUAAAAUUAUGAAUCUCUCAAGUUUGAAAUUUAUUUAAACCCUCUUUCAGACGCACUUAAUUGCACCUCAAGCGGAGUUACGAGACUCCAAUUCUAUUCAUUUCAGUUCAACCCUAUUGCGAUAAUUUCUGCAUAAACCCUAAAAUAAAAUGCAUGGAUUCAAAAUAGAAUGAAAAAUUAUAUACUCGUGAUAAAUUUAUAAAACACUCGAUUUUGAAUGAUCAUUAAAUUCUAUUUCUAACGCAACUCACGACACCCCAAAAGGACUUACGAAACUCAAGUUAUGCGUGAAAGAUGAUGACCAACACGAGACUGAAAUUGACUAAGCCUCUAGUAUAAAAACCAGUGAGUUGCUGCUAUUGUACUGCCUCUUUAACCGAUUUCUCUACUUCAAAAGAAAUAUUACCGUGUUAGCUUUUCAACGCAACUGGCGGCACUCCAAAAGGAUUGACGAAACUCAAGUUAUGCCUGAAAUAAGGCGGUCAAUUACCUUUUAUGUGUACCUGCAAUUUUUUUGCGUUUUUCUCUCUAUUAUACAUAUUUAAAACUCGCCUAUUUGAGUCUCAACUACCCCGAAUGCUCAACAAAUUUGAUUUCUCUAAAAAAAUCAAUUUUUUAUUUUUGGUGAAAAGUCCAAUGUUUUGGAAAUUAGGGAAAACACAUCCUAAGGUUUUGGAAAAUUUUGAGAACACGACCAAAUAGAGUCCCUCACAAAAUUACAGACAAAAAUUCCAAAAUCCUAAAACAUGAUCACAACAACUACACACAAUUUCACAGUCAUGUAUCACAAUCAACAACAAGCAGUGUAAAUCAACAAACAAUAACACUUUUUAUGACCGUAUGAGAUUUAUCUGAAAUCCCAUUUGGUUUUCAGAGUAACUCGGACGGAAAAAAUUCAUUGAUCUAUGCUAAUAAGGUUUUGUCGCCCAACACUAUAUUACCCAUGGCGUUGAUGGGAGGGUAAGGAAUUAUCACCAUCCUAGCUUUUCAACGCAACUGACGGCACUCCAAAAGGAUUGACGAAACUCAAGUUAUGCCUGAAAUAAGGCAGUCAAUUACCUUUUAUGUCUACCUGCAAUUUUUCUGUGUUUUUCUCUCUAUUAUACAUAUUUAAAACUCGCCUAUUUGAGUCUCAACCACCCCGAAUGCUCAACAAAUUUGAUUUCUCUAAAAAAAUCAAUUUUUUAUUUUUGGUGAAAAUUCCAAUGUUUUGGAAAUUAGGGAAAACACAUCCUAAGGUUUUGGAAAAUUUUGAGAACACGACCAAAUAGAGUCGCUCACAAAAUUACUGACAAAAAUUCCAAAACCCUAAAACAUGAUCACAACUAUCAACAAAGAAUAACACUUUUUAUGACCGUAUGAGAUUUAUCUGAAAUCCCAUUUGGUUUUCAGAGUAACUCGGAUGGAAAAAAUUCAUUGAUCUAUGCUAAUAAGGUUUUGUCGCCCAACACUAUAUUACCCAUGGCGUUAAUGGGAGGGUAAGAAACUAUCACCAUCCUAGCUGCCCAAUUCAUCCAUCAAUGAGGAAAUUCCCCUACCUUAUAAUUUCAUAACCAUCAAGCUUUUUGGCUAUGGAUUUCCUUCAUAGAGUUUCUUAGGUUUUUUUGUCUUCUUCUAUGUUUUCCAAGUUUUUUACGUAUCAGCCUCCAUUUCAAUUCUCACUUUUCUAUUUAAAUAACGAUUUUUUUUGUUAAUUCUCAACUUUCCCUUAACUCUUUACUAUUACUCUUUGACACUCCAAUUUUAUUAAACUUCUAAUUCCACCUCAUAUUCUUAAUUUUCAUAUUUUUAUUAUUUUAAUUAAAUAAAUAUUUAAUCAAAAUUCUCUAAAUUACUAUUUUCUCAAACCAUUACAAAAUAACUAAAUUUAUCCAAUUAUUCAUAAUUUUUCCAAUAAAUUCAAUUUUUAUUUUCUACUCUUCAAUCCUGUAAUUCCAGUAAUUAUUAAAUUACCAAAAUACAUCUAUGCAUCAAAUAACACAAAAAAUCAAAUAUAACGAAUAAAGCACACCAAUAAUUAAAUAAAAUAAUUAAUAAAAAUUGGGGUGUUACAUUGACUAGUCUACAGGUUCUAAUCAUCAGAGGCAGACUUCUUUAAAGUCUGGUUUUCAUAGCCUGCUUCUUCAGAUUCUCACCUUCAAACGUUGACCUCUUUAGAAGUAGACUUCUUCAGAGUCUAGUCUUCAGCUUCUGAUCCAUCAGUUUAUGGUCUUUAGGCUUCUCUUUAAAUGUUCACAAUCAGAACAAAUACUUAGAUUAUUCCUGAAAUUUUAGUCUAUGGUCCUACGCACCUGAACAAAUAUUAGUAUACUCAAUUAUUCUUUAAAUACUUUGUUAUCAUCAAAACCUAAUGGAUAUAGUACAAACCAAUUUUGUUCCAACAAUCUCUCCCUUUUUGAUGAUGAGAAACAUAAGUAUUUAAGAACAAUUAUUGUUAAUUUAAUUAAUAAGUUGACUUUAGAGUUUGAGGUUUCUAAGCUCCUCCGAGUCUAGUAGUCCAGAGGGUGAGGUCUGUAAGCUUCACCCAAGUUAUAUCUAGGUUAAUUAAAUUUAAACAUUAAAGCACAAUAAAAAAUCUUCAAAAUUUAAGCAAAAAAUAAUAACGGUUAGAUUCAGGUGCUUAAAUACUUAUGUAUUUACUCCCCUUUUUAUCAUCAAUAAAAAAUUAAAGGAAAGAAAAGAUAUUGAAUAAAACAUUGCAUUAACCAAAGAAGAAGAGAGUCAGAGUGAGAAAACAUGUUCAAAAUGAUUGAAAAGACAAAACAAAAGGGUUUGUUAAAUCCUAAAGCUUGGGGUUUAUGCUUCAGAAGCUCCAGGAUAGCCUUGAUAUCAUAACCCAUGUCAUCUUGUCUAGCAAUCACAAACUUCAAUUAACAUCUAUGUCUUUUUACAUAGCAGUAACUAAAGCCAAAUUCUCCUCUAAAUGGUCAUGCUUCUCACUGGAAUAAGCCAUAGACACAGAUGAGAAAGACUUCAGAUUCUAUAGAGUUGUAUCCAUAAUAGUUUUGAGAGUGUUCCAUUUAGCUGCAUAAGUUGUGGGAUCAGAUGCAAUGAGCCUCUUAACAACUAGAUUUUGAAUUCUAUCAAAGAUAACAAUUAUGAUUUAUUCCGUUUGGUAUUUGAUAUGAGGUAGGAUGUUGAGUUUUAGAGUGGGUUGAGGUGUAGAAGGACUAGGUAAAGCUACUGUGUCAGAUUAUGACACAACGUCUGCCUCCCUAGAAGGAGAAAGGUAAUGGUUGUAACACCUUAAACCUCCACUCUUAAUCAUAAAAGAGAAAAUAAUAUUUUAGGAUUUUACUCCAAUAAAACAUACAUACUUUAUUCAGAUAAAGUCAACAUAUUCGCAACAAAAUUCAAAUUAUUGCAUAACUUCGAAUAUUUAUUCAAAGGAAAUACUCAAGGAAAAUAAAAUCCAACAUCAACUCAAAGCAAAAACGUCUCAUUCCUCGAUGUUACAGAGUCAUAACAAUCUCCAUCUAAUAGCAUAAAUGUAUAAAUAAAUAAGAAAGAAAGUUGCAAGGUCGUCUUCCAACUCACAAGCAAUUACUCUUGGUGAGUAUAUUUACAAUAUUUCACAAAGCCAACCAAAAUAAACAAGAAAUGAGUGAGAAUACACCUUAGGAAUGUUAAUGGUGAAAAUCAACAGCAGGAUGAUAAUAGUAAUUACAUAGAUCAUUUUCACACAACAACAACAACCAGACAAUUCAUAAUGCAAAUGUGAAUGCAACAACUUCUCCUCCAAAUAUGCAUAUGGUACUAGGUGUUGGGAUCAUAGGUAUGUUACUGAUUAUCCAUGUCUCUGGUUCCUCUCUGACGGUGUCCCUCUCUAGACAUGAGACCGUCAUGGCUCCUCUCUGAACCUAACCUCACUAGACAGGAGUCUUAUCUAACUCCAAUAUACAUGUAUACAUGAUUAUGACAUCAUAAGCUCAAACAAUCAUACAAUUAUCAACAUCUGGUCUCAAAAUUUAUACUAAAAAAUAGGUUUCACUCUUGAGCCAUAAUUCUCCAAUAACAGGCCUCAAUGUAAUUUCACUGAAUUACUCAACUCCAAAAAUAUAGUUAUAAUCAUAUUAUAACUCUAAAUUUCAUAAUUUUCCAAUAACAUACCCCGUUGUAAUUCCACUGAAUUACUAAACUCAAAACAUAAUAUAUUUAUAUAUUUUCUCAAAAUAAUCAACCAUAGAGUAAAAUUGUGUUGUUACUCGAUAAUUUACCUCAACUCAGCCAAUAAACUCAAAAACAUCUCAAAAGGGUGCAUUUUAUAUUAUAUACUCUCAACUCAAAAAUAAUUUAAGUAAUUCCAUAGAGUUCACAAGGGAACUCUAAACAACUCGCCAAUAAAACUUGACCAUUCUAGGGUAACCCUUGAGUACUCAAAAUACUCGAAACUACCCCAGUACCAACUUUCACGAGUGGUAACUCUACUGAACUCCUUAGAGGUUGGCAGUUUAACUCAAAUAAAAUUAACUCUAAAAUAAUAAUUUUAUCUCAACUUAUCAAAAAGGUUGUUGACAAUAAAAUUGCUUGAAUUUUACCAAACUGACCCUUAAACUCGAAAACCACCAAAAUCGCAAUCUGCCGCCCGUAUAACCUUUUUGUAUAGUCGUGCAGCCCAUCAUACAGCCGUACAGUAUCACUGUACAGCCCGUCAUACAACAAGUCUUCCUUCGGGAUAAUUCUCAUCUAGGUGAGACCUGAAGGAGAAGAGCGAUCCAAAACACAACAGAAUUUAAAAAUUUCUCCUUUAGUGAUCCUUACGAAUGGGCAUGAUCAGUGAUAGAAUCGUUAUCUCUUGUGGCGAUUGUAACCUUUGAUGUAAUUCUACAGAGCGAUCACGAACGUUGAACGAUGACAACGCCUCUACUUAGUCCACACGAAUGGAUUCCUUCAAUCUUAGUGCUAGCUGCUAUGAAUGAAGGCUUUGAGUGUGUGUGUGUGUGUGUGUGUGUGUGUGUAUGUGUGUGUGUGUGUGUGUGUGUGUGUGUGUGUGUGUGAGAGAGAGAGAGAGAGAGAGAGAGAGAGAGAGAGAGAGAAACGAAAUUGUAACUGCACAAAUGCUUCUACACAAGGGUUCUAUUUAUAGAACCACUUAGUGUGUGUGUGUGUGUGUGUGUGUGUGUGUGAGAGAGAGAGAGAGAGAGAGAGAGAGAGAGAGAGAGAAACGAAAUUGUAACUGCACAAAUGCUUCUACACAAGGGUUCUAUUUAUAGAACCACUUGUGUGGGCUGCAAGCUAAAAAGGCCCACUCAAGUGUAUGUAGCCCAUAUCUUAUAAUAUGCCAAAAUCACUUAAGUGUGUGGUACCUUACCAUAUUUCGUAUUCUACUUAAGUACAUUGUACCUUACGAUGUUCUACAAUUCACUUAAGGGCACCGUACAUUAAGGUAUUCCUUAAUUACUAUAUCUCUCAUCAAUCCGUCCUUUUGUGUGUGACCCUGUAGGUUUUCGCGGCAUUGAUAAUUAUAUUAAAUCACGUAUUUAACAUAAUAAACAGUGAGCAGUAUCUAGCAACACAUCACUGCUACCUAAGACACGAAAAUGUCAUGUGAUAUGACAAAUCCUUUUGUGAUAAUACUUAUGUGUACAAUUACCUUUUUUCCCUUAUGUCUAUAUUGAACACAAGGCAUAGACCGUGCCAUCCUUGUCCAGUUCAAUAUUGGGCCCAUAGACAUUUAUCUUGUUAUGCAGUAUGGGCAAAUUCCAUCUAGGUCACUCAUGUCCCUUAGCAUGCUUCGUGGAGUACCCAUCAACUGUCUUUAUGGUCAUCCAGUUACAGAUAACGUUUGAUCAUCAAUAAGGCACUCGACUCUACAUCUAGGGUCCAUAGUGGUUUCAGGUCGAAGGGUGGUAUACACCAUUAUCACCAUGAGAAUAACUUAUGACACUUUGCAUAACAUUCUAUAUACUCAUAGCGGGUCCAAUCCCCAGUAUAAAUAUUACUCUUAUAUUCAUACAUAUGUUUAAGACUUGAUAACUCCUUAUCCAUGAUCCAUGAGAUGUGAUCAUCAGUCCAUACAUAAUAGUCUUAAUGCUUAAUGUUAAUCCCACUUCACAAUAAAGCUCGACUACGGAUACUUUAAGAAUAAUGUCCUUAUGUUUAAUGUGAUCUCAUGAUUAAGUCACACUUGAUACAUUAAACGGACUAGCUAUUCUAGGGACUUUAUUAAAAAAACAUAAUAAAGAAAAAGCCUUUUAUUAUUAAUAAAUAAUUUGAUACAAGUACCAAAAGUAUUGGCCUCUAGGGCUUACACCAACUAGACCUUAGUAACGACCCUUGGGGGUUGAUAAUACAAGGUCACCCUGAAUGGAAUAGGUUUCAGAUAAUGGUUCUCAAAGUCAUGGACCACAUCCAAAUCAUCAACAUAGUGAGGGGCUAGCCCUACUAUGAAGAUACCUUUGGGAGACUAUUCUGAAUGUAGCUUUCAUGCCCCUUUGAAAUGUGACAUCUCGCCGAUUAACACUAGCUAUACUUAUUAACUUUUUUUUUCUCAAGCUUGGGUUUUAGCUUCACACAUACGAAGAUCCCAACUAAUAACAUGCAAGCAUAUAUAAUAAAAUAAAAAUCAAACAGGAAGAAUAAAAAUAAAAUGGAAAAGCAAAUAAAUAAAUAAUAAAAAACAAGAAUAAAUAAAAUCAAACAAAGAAAGAAACACAAAAAAAAACCUAAAACUAUAGGUUAUGAUGGACUCUCUUUAGGGAAAGUUACAGUCUUCCCCAUCAUAGUCGUCAGCUGUCGCGACUGGAAAAUUACAGAGUCACCAUCAUCAUUUAUUUAUUUAUGAGGAACAAGGAAAUAAUGAUAAAACCUAAAGUUAAGGGUGAGACAUUAAGGUCCGGGAGUCAGUUAAGUGAGAGGAAGGUGUUAGGCACCCCUCACCUCCAUUGUACUCAAGGAGGGCCUUCUCUAGUUCUAUGGUUAACCAUUUUUGCUUAAGGGAUGUCUGUUUAGAUUAUUUAUUUUGCUUAAUUACUUAUUAACAUGGAAUUUAAUUAUUGUUAAGAGAAAAGUUUUUAAUUAAGGAAAAGAGGAUAAAGAAAAUGUUUUUGUUAUUGUACUCGCUAGAGUGUUACGACUCUAUGCCUACUGAAGCUAGCGGAAAUAUAUUCGAACGCAUCUCACGCUCGAACAUACAACAAAGUCGCCAUCGAACUUUAUUUAUUCCCAAAGUAAAAGGAAAACAUCGAUAAAACCCGGGGGAAAAGAGAUAUAUUGGGUAAGGAAGUCAGUUAUGCAAGGAGAAGGUAUUGGUACCCCUAACAUCCAUGGUACUCCAUGGGAACCAUUUUGAUCGUUCUUGCUCCAGUGGGUGUUAUAUCUAAAGGUUAAUCUCAAAAUAAUAUGGAAAGGAAAGAAAUAGAUAGAGUGCUCGUUGAGGAUUGGGGCCCUCAUGCCUACUUAUCCUCAUAGUGCAAUGAGGAAUUCAUAGUUCUGUAGUUCGAAGAACUAGUGGUAGGAGAUAAAAAGAAGUGUGACCAAAGUAUGGUCUAAACUAAAGGAUUAUUGUUUGAACUCUAAAAGGGGUGAAAUAUGAACCCAGGAGUAAAAUUGGUUUUAACCGACAUCUGAACUAGCAGAGGGUUGCCACUAUAUGGUAUAGCCGAAAACAAGGUGAAUUAAGUAUUUGGGUACGAUCCAAAUAACUCUUGGUUCACAAGGUGACGCAAGAUGGAUCUCCAAGAGAUUAUGUAUUUGGCUCAGGAAUAGGGUUUAUCACAUGAAGUGAAUGAAGGUAGAAUAUGAAUGCAUCAUGGAGAUGAAUGGAAUGAAGGAAUUCCCUAAGGCAUAUGUAAUAAAUAAGUAUGCUCAUGGAGGAUUCGAACCCUCGUGCCUACGUAUUCUCAUCGUGCAAUGAAAAAAUCAGAUCAAUCAUAGUUCAAACUACUACGACUGAAAACAAAGGGAGAUUUGAUAGGAUUGCUCAGAGGCAAGGUAGAUUUCUUAACAAGCAAGAGCGUAGCACUAACCAAUGAUGGUAAUCAUCCACAAGGUAUCAAUGAAGGCAUGGUCUGAACUAGGGGUGGCAAACGGGCAUGCCCGCCCCGUUUAGGCCCGCCCUGCAAAAGCCCACAAAAAAACGGGGCGGGGCGGGGCGGUCAUAAUUGAGGAUGCGGGCCUAAAACUUAGACCCGCCCCGCAAAAAAGUGAGGACGGGGUGGGGAAAGCCCGCGGGCACUACAAAAGCCCACAAAAAAACGGGGCGGGGCGGGGCGGUCAUAAUUGAGGAUGCGGGCCUAAAACUUAGACCCGCCCCGCAAAAAAGUGAGGACGGGGUGGGGAAAGCCCGCGGGCACUGCACUCUUUAAGCCUAAAAAUACAAAAAUUUAUGUAAAUACACGUGCCCGCAAAAGCCCGCGAAAAAAAUGGGGCGGGGCGGGACAGACACAUUUGAGGGUGAGGGCCUAAAUCCUUGGCCCGCCCCGCACAAAAGUGCGGGCAAAACGGGCAUGGCCCGCGGGCUGAGCCCGUUUUGCCACCCCUAGUCUGAACCAAAGGUGCUACCAGAGUCUGAGACUCCAUAAGGUAGAAAAUGAUAUUGCCAGGGUCUGCACCCACAAGGCAGAAUGAGAUAUAGCCAAAGUAUGGACUCCUAAGGCAAGAUAGAUGAAUUCCAUAGUCUGAACUAAAACAAAGGCAAGGACAAAUUUCCAGGGUCUGAACUCAAUUAGGGCAAAAGGAAUAUAAUACCAAAGUCUGAAUUUCAAGACAAUGUCAAAGGUUGUCAGAAUCUGAACUCCACUGGAAAAAUGUAUAAGUGUCCCAUAGUCUGAACUAUACAAAGCAAGUGAAUGAUCUGAAUUCCAGAGUUUGAACUCAAUGAGGGAAAACGAGUAUGAUGUCGUAGUCUGAAUUGUAAGGCAAUGGAAGAGGUAGCCAGACUCUGAACUCAAUGGGAUGGGAUGCCAAGAUCUAUAUCUUAUAGGCAAGGAAUAAAGCCAGAGUUUGUAUUCCAUAGGCUAAAAGAAGUGCCAAGGUCUGUACUUGUGGGAAAGAAAUAAAACCAAAGUAUGUACUUUAUGGGUUGAAUGCCAAUGUAUGUACCUUAUAGGCAGAGGGUAAAGAUGCCACAAUAUGAACUACAUGGGCGAGAUGCCAAGGUUUGUACCUCAUAGACAAAGAAUAUAGCCAAAGUUUUUACUCCAUGGGCUGAAGGAAGUUGCCAAGGUCCGCACCUUGAGGGUAAGCGACAAAGUAUGCCAUAGUCUGAACUGAUAGGCAAUGCAUGAAGCAAUUGAUUGAGAAAUGGGUAUGUGACCCCAAGAUAAUGAUCCCAAGAAAUGUAUGAAUAUCCAGGAAGAGAGUUUGAUACUAGAGGGAGUAAUGGUGCUUCAUUGUUAAAGGAGGAUUGAUGUGCAAUAAUGCUUCAUUAUUGAAGUGUUGUGUGAUUGAUGCUUGCUUGAAUAAGACUUGUCAAUCACAUGAUUCGAAUCGCACUAAAGUCUAUGAACAAGGGCGGGUGCUUUGAAUAACUAGGGCCUACGCCUCAUACGCAAAGUCACUCUAGACAAGGGUAGGAGAAACUUCGUCUCAUCAUUCCUUAUUACUUAAGGCUCAUAGCGUGUGAAAUUCUAGUAACAGACUAUCGAUGUCACACUGGAUGUUAUGACAUCCAAUUCUGCGCAGACGGGUAAUGUAUGCAUAAAGUAAAUGUAAAAAGAAGUAAAUGACACAGAGAAUUGUUUACCCAGUUCGGUGACAAACACACCUACUUUGGGGGCUACCAAGCCAGGGAGGAAAUCCACUAUAAGAGGUAUUAAUUCAGGACUUAAACCACAAGUUUAAUCCUAUCACUUAAGACCUACCCAAUGCAAUUUCAAUCUAAACUAAGACCUGAGUACCUACUCACUCCCCCUCAAUCACAGCAGUGAUUACAACCAUUAAGAAUUUUAAAGUCAGUGGUGAAGAUAUACUUCAAACAACUCUUGAUUGUGCUUAAAAGCUUUAAUCAAGAAACACAACACUCACGCUUAAAAGCUUAGAGUGACACAACAAUUACAACUCAAUAAACACCCUAGUCCAAUGCAAUCAUCUAGGUGAUAAUUGCUUGGCUCACAAGUAAAACCUAAUUCAAGACACAAUGAAAGUACAUCAAUGAUAUAUAAUGAUAUAUUGAAUUCUUCACGCUUCAAAUCACUGAGUUGCUGAAAGUAGGAUUGCCAUCCUUUUAUAAUGCAGUACUUGGGCCUUGAACUUGAAUUUCAUAAAAUUAGGGUUAAGCAAGUUAACCUAAUUUCCACACAUUAGGGUGCUAACAAAUAGGCUAUAUGCUAGGUCUCUUAAUUUUAGCACAGCUGUUAGUUUCCUGAAAAUCAGCCUGAGAUAAAUACUGAAACAUAACAGAAAAAUUAGCCUAUACUUUAGCAUCUGCUGUCAGGGAUGAAUGUCAUAACAUUCAGUUUGACAUCCAGAAAAUGCUGUCAUGAAUGAAUGUCAUAACAUUCAGUUUGACAUCCAGUAAAUCCUGUAUUAGCUAAUCCUGCAGCAUACUACUUAAGCAUGUCAUGACAUCAGUCAAGACAUCUAAGUACAGUAAGUGUUUUAACAUAAAAUGCAGCCAAUCAAAAACAUCUACAAACUCCCCCUUUGGCAAAUUUUUGGCUAAAACAACUUGGCAUCACAACAGAGUUCACAGCAGCAGAAAGCACACAUCCAAGCAGAGAAUCAAAUUAGCUAAUACACUUAGCAAACAUAGAAGUUAAACUUCAAACAACAGCAGCACAAGAGAAGAUCAAGCAGAGAGCAAACAACAACAUAACCUCUUGUUUAGAGGACCUUCAACUUCAAAGAAAUUUGUUGUCCUGGGGUACAAGUGUUACUCCCCCUUUUUGUCAAAAAUGUUGCCAAAGCAACACUUAAUAUUACAGACCAAAAAAAUAAAAAUACAAGCAAUUAUCAGAAACACAAGAAAUGUUCUAGUCAUCUGACUCAGAGUCAGCAUCAUCAUUUGUGCCAUCAUCAGGACUGGCAUCUGCUUCUCCCUCUUCACCUUGUCUUUCAGCUUCUUCUGCAACAGCAACAGCUUCACCAAAUUCUCCACCAUCAGCUAGCACAUCACCUUCAGUCAUCUCCAAAGAGCUAAUCAAUUUUUCCAAGUUCAGCUUCCUUGCCUCUAAUUCCCUGCAGGUUUCUUUGAGCAUUGCAAUGACAACAGCUUUACCUGGCUGAUUGCUUACACGUGAUGUCUCACCUGAUGUCAUGACAAUGUCAGGGACAUGGGUACCUAGGAACAACUUAUGAUUGAAAGACAUAGGGUUGUCUCUUUUCUUCACAGAAUCAUUCUCAGUUAAGAUGUUUGGAAACUGAUUCAAAACAAUACCACAGAUGAGAGAAGGAAAGGCUAUAGGACCCUUCACACUGAAGCUUCCUGCAUGCUUCAAAGUUUGAUCAAAAAUAUAGGAGCCAUAGUCAAAUUUGGCUUUGGUUCCAACAACAUAUAUAAACUUUCCAAGCAUUACAGCAACUGUAGAUUUAUGAUUGGUGGGCACCCAGUUAGCAGCUCCAAUCUUGUGCAGCAUUGCAUACUUGACACUCAGUUUACUUGCCACCAAUUUUCCUUUGAGAGGCCACUUCCUUACCUGAUUAGCAGUGAUGACUUGACAGAUUUUGUUGUCAGUCACCUCAAGCUCAGGUUGAGCUUCAUCAGGCCUUCCCAAAUACUUGUUGAUCACUGAAGGAGAGAAAUUUACACACUUGCCUCUCACAUACACUUUCCUGAAUUCCUUAGACUUGCCAUCAGCACAUUCUUCAGACAAAUUAACAAUAAAUUCCUUUACCAACAUCUCAUAGCACUUUGAAAACUGAGUCACAGUCUUCAUUAAACCAGCCUCUUGAAUAAGAUCCAUAAUAUCCUUACAGUCUAGGACAUUCUGAGCUAAUUCCCUUUCCAAAGCCAGCCUCUUCUGAUAAACAUAUUUCCACCUGUUUACACUUGAAGCAAAAUGAAAAGAUAUGUUGUCAAUUGGUACCUCAGGGACACUAGCUGCAAGCUUGCUAGUGGUUGGCUUCUUCUUUGACAGAAUGUCAGAGACAUUACAAGGAACAUCUGAGUCAGACUCAACAACAACAAACUUGGUCUUCUUUUUCUUGGGCACCACUUUGCUCCAAGAUUUGGUUGGACCAUGAACUUUCCUCUUGAGGGAACUCUCGACUGCCACCGUUGUCUUGGAAGAGGUUGGAACAUCAAUCUUCUUUCUGGGGGACCUUUGAGCCACAGUUUUCUUUUCUCUCCUAGUCCUAACCCUUUUGGCUAUGCUAGGGAGGACAGAGGACAACAACUCAUUAUCAGAAAAUUCCUCCAGGUCUACUGUUUCAGCCUCACAGUUAGGGUUGUCACUGACAUCAUGAGUGACAUGAACUUCCUCACCAGCCACAUUAUCUAAGGGUUUGUCAACAUUUGACUCCUUAUGAGCAUCAGUUUGCUCAACAUCAUCAGAGAUAUUCUUUCCUAAAGACUCAGUAUUUUCUUGAUCAGCAACACUAUCAGGUUCAAUAGUGUUUAAGGGAAUGGAAACCCCAGGGACCUCAUGAUUUCCAGACAGUAUUCCAGUCACUAUAGUGGCAAUGGCAUUGUGAACAUACCUGGAACCUUCUUUGGUUCGUUCCUCAAGAACGAUGGAUGAGGAGAAGCCUGAUACAGUUUCUUUAGGUCUUCUUGCAUGUGGGGUAUUCAUAGAGUCAGCAACAGGAUCUUCUCUGUUAGGGUUGCUUGGUUCAGCGCUAGGAGAACAAGGCAUGUUCUUGGAAGGAGAAGAGUUGGAUUGUUGAGACAUGAUGAGUAUCUUAGAGACGAAAUGAAAAAUUUCUCUGAGAGGAUGCUUGCGUGAAUGGAAGUUGAAAGAGUGGAAGAAGUAACGCUUGUUGCAAGUGAAAUAACUAUUAUCUGUUGACCAAUCAGAGCACACUUUCAAUUGUUUAAUAAUUUGAAAUAUUAAACAGUAAAUUCCUAACAUCCUUAGUUGCUAUAAUUCCUCAGAAAGACAUAUUCCCAACUUGCCCCUUAAAUUUUCAAACUGAGUAGCAUCCAAAGCCUUUGUAAAUAUGUCAGCAAGUUGUAGUUCAGUUGCCACAUGUUCCAAGGUAAUCACUUUGUCUUCUACCAGAUCUCUUAUGAAGUGAUGUCUAAUGUCAAUAUGUUUGGUCCUGCUGUGUUGGAUAGGAUUCUUUGAAAUGUUGAUGGCACUGAGAUUGUCACAGAACAAUGUCAUGACAUUCUGAGUGACAUUGUACUCAGUCAGCAUUUGUUUCAUCCAUACCAGUUGGGAACAACUGCUUCCAGCUGCUAUGUACUCAGCUUCUACAGUGGAUAAUGAUACAUAGUUCUGUUUCUUGCUGAACCAGGAUAUGAGAUUGUUUCCCAAGAAGAAACAUCCUCCUGAUGUGAUUUUUCUGUCAUCAACACUCCCAGCCCAAUCAGCAUCACAAUACCCAGAUAAGAUAGGCUCAGAGCCAUGAGAGUAGAGUAUACCAUAAUCAUAAGUCCCAUUAAUAUACUUGAGAAUCCUCUUGACUUGAUUUAAGUGACUCACUUUGGGUUCUGCUUGGUAUCUAACACACACACCAACUGCAUAUGCAAUAUCAGGUCUACUAGCAGUUAGACAUAGUAGGCUACCUAUCAUGCUUCUAUACAAGCAUUGAUCAAUACUAGAACCUCCUUCAUCUUUAAUUAAAUUUAAAUGAGUAGGUGUAGGAGUUCUUUUGUGACUAGCAUUAUCCAUACCAAACUUCUUAACUAUGUUCUUGGCAUAUUUGCUUUGGGAGAGAAACAUAGAAUCUUCCAUCUGUUUAACUUGCAGUCCAAGAAAAUAAGUCAAUUCCCCAACCAAACUCAUUUCAAAUUCAGAUUGCAUCUGGUUAACAAAAUGUUUCACCAUUCUAUCUGACAUUCCACCAAAGACAAUAUCAUCCACAUAUAUUUGGGCAAUCAUGAUUUUUCCAUCUUCAUCCUUCACAAAUAAAGUCUUAUCUAUCCCUCCUUUUCUGUAACCAUUAGUAGUCAGAAAUUCAGUCCCAUACAGAGCUUUCCUCAACUUGUACACAUGUUUUGGUAGAUUAGGAUCACUGAACCCUUUAGGUUGUUCCACAUAGACUUCUUCAUUCAAAUAGCCAUUUAAAAAGGCACUCUUCACAUCCAUUUGGAACAAUUUGAACUUCAGAAUGCAGGCAACACCUAACAACAACCUUAUUAACUCAAGUCUUGUAACAGGUGCAAAAGUCUCAUCAAAAUCAACCCCUUCAACUUGAGUAUACCCUUGUGCCACUAGUCUUGCUUUAUUCCUAGUGAUUACUCCUUUCUCAUCAGACUUGUUCUUGUAAAUCCACUUGGUACCAAUGAUGUUAGUCCCUUCAGGUCUUGGAACUAACUCCCAUACUUCAUUCCUUUUAAACUGCUCCAGUUCAUCUUGCAUAGCAUUGAUCCAAUAUUCAUCAGUCAGAGCUUCUUUCACAUUUUUAGGUUCAACCUUGGAUACAAAGCAGGAAUUUGAGCUAUUCUCCCUUGAUCUGGUAAUCACACCACUAUUGGGAUCUCCUAUGAUAAGAUCCUUAGGGUGGUCUUUCUGAAUCCUGAUAGAAGGCACCUUGUUGGAUGCUUCUAACUCAAGUCCAGGAGGAGUAUCCUGUACAUUUUCUGUUGAAGUCUCAAGGAAUGUUCCAACAUCCUCUAUGACAUUGGAUUCUUCAUCUUUAUCAUCAACAAUAACAUUUAUGGAUUCCAUCAGGACAUUAGUUCUGGAGUUGAAAACUCUGUAUGCUCUGCUGUUAGUAGAGUAUCCCAGGAAUAUACCCUCAUCACUUUUGGGGUCCAUUUUUCUUCUCUGUUCACGAUCUGUAAGAAUGUAACAUUUGCUUCCAAAGAUAUGAAAGUACUUCACAGUAGGUUUUCUGCCUUUCCAUAUUUCAUACAGAGUGGAAGAGGUUCCCUUUCUCAAGGUAACUCUGUUGUGAACAUAGCAAGUUGUAUUCAUAGCUUCAGCCCAAAAGUGCAUAGGAAGCUUCUUUGCAUGAAUCAUAGCUCUAGCAGAUUCUUGAAUAGUUUUGUUCUUCCUUUCAACUACUCCAUUUUGCUGAGGAGUAAUAGGUGAGGAAAACUCAUGACUUAUUCCUUUAGAUGAGCAAAAAUCAUCAAACUUGGAAUUUUUAAACUCCUUUCCAUGGUCACUUCUUAUUCUGAUAACACAACUAUCCUUUUCUCUUUGGAGUCUUACGCAUAGAUCUUUGAAGACAUCAAAUGCAUCUGUUUUUUCUCUGAUGAAGCUUAUCCAUGUGUAUCUGGAAUGGUCAUCAACAACCACAUAAGCAUAUCUCUUCCCACCAAGACUUUCAACCUGCAUAUGUCCCAUUAAGUCCAUGUGCAAAAGUUCCAGAGUUUUGGAUGUUGUAGGAAGUCCAAGCUUAGGAUGUGACAUCUUGGUUUGCUUGCCAACCUGACAUUCUCCACAGACUUUCCCUUCAUUAAUAAUCAGCUUUGGGAUUCCUCUAACUAUAUGAUCUUCUUCAUUCCUCUUAAAUGAAGAUGUCUAAGUCUUCUAUGCCACAACUUCACUUCCUUUUCUUCCUUGGAUAAGAAGCACAUUGAGGAGUAGUUUGAGACUUUAGGUUCCCAUAGAUAGCAGUUAUAUUUGGAUCUGGAUCCUCUCAUAACUUCCUUGUUUUCUCCAUUUGUCACAACACAUUCUUCCUUAGUGAACUAUACAUUGAAGCCUUGAUCACAUAGCUGGAUUAUGCUGAUGAGAUUAGCAGUUAGUCCUUUUACUAACAACACAUUAUUCAGUUCUGGAACUCCAGGACUGUCUAGCUUACCAACACCUUUGAUUUUUCCUUUAGCUCCAUCACCAAAGGUCACAUAACUGGUAGUAUGAGGUUGUAUAUCUACCAAUAAGUUAUUCAUCCCAGUCAUAUGUCUUGAGCAACCACUAUCAAAAUACCAGUCUUCUUUGGUAGAUGCCCUUAGAGAUGUGUGAGCUAUUCUAGCAACCCAUUGUUGUUUCUUGAUAGGGGAAUUAUGCUUAGGUGCCUUCUGCUUAGGUCUGACUUAAGGGGUCUAGUUAGGAUAACCAUGCAACCUAUAACAGAAGGGUUUUAUGUGACCAAAUCUUCCACAGUAAUGGCAUCUCCAUCUUUAAAAUUUCUUCUUUUGAUGGUUAAUCCUCCUGUUUCCAUGAUGUUGUGACAUUGGUUGUGACUUCUGCUUGAUUUUCUGAACUUCAGCCUUUGAGCUUUUGAAUUUAGAUGAGGAUUCCUUAACAAAGCCUAAACCAGACAUGGUUCCUGAUUUCUGUCCCACCUUUAUAAUUUCUUCCAAAGUGUCAGUUCCUUUAUUCACCAUUCUGAUGGAUUUUGUCAUUUGAUCUAGCUUAGAGGUCAGCAAGGUUAUCUCACCAUUUAGAUCAUCUAUGACUGUCAGAUGCUUCUUCUUCUCAGCUUCCAGCUCCUUGAUAAGUUUCUUCUGCUUUUCUCCUUGUAGACACACUUCUGCACUUUUGACACAUAACUCUUUAUAUGAAGCAGCAAGUUCAUCAAAUGUAAGUUCAUCUCCACUUGAGUCAUCAUCAGAGGCACAGACACUAGUUAGUGCAGUGACAUGUUUUGCAGAUUCUCCUUCUGAUUCACUCUCAGAGUCUCCAUCAGACCAGGUGACAGAUAGUCCCUUCUUUUGCAUCUUGAGGAAGGUAGGACAUUCAGCUCUAAUGUGUCCAAAACCUUCACAUCCAUGACACUGGAUUCCCUUGCCUUGGUUGGACUUUUCUUCAGAUUUUGAUCUUCUACUGAUGUCAGAUGAAGUGUUCUUGACAUUUGGUCUACCUUUUUGAUCAAUCUUCUUUAUGAACUUGUUGAACUGUCUUCCAAGCAUGGCUAUAGCUUCUGAUAUACUUUCAUCACCUCCAAUAUUUCCUUCUUCUGAAUCCUCUUCAGUAUUUGAUACAAAAGCUAUGCUUUUGUUUUUCUUUUCAACAUUCUCACACAAGCCCAUUUCAAAAGUUUGGAGAGAACCAAUAAGCUCAUCAACCUUCAUAUUGCAGAUAUCUUGAGCCUCUUCUAUAGCAGUAACCUUCAUGGCAAAUCUCUUGGGCAAUGAUCUGAGAAUCUUUCUUACAAGUUUUUCUUCAGACAUUUUCUCUCCUAAGCCUCCAGAAGUGUUGGCAAUUUCAAGAAUAUUCAUGUGGAAGUCAUGAAUAGUCUCAUCCUCUUUCAUCCUCAGAUUUUCAAACUUAGUAGUCAGCAUCUGGAGUUUAGACAUCCUUACCUUGGAGGUACCUUCAUGAGUUGUUUUGAGAGUAUCCCAAACUUCUUUAGUCAGUUCACAGUGAUGCACCAGUCUGAAAAUGUUCUUAUUUAUCCCAUUGAACAGUGCAUUCAAAGCCUUAGAGUUUCCAAGGGCUAAUGCCUCUUGCUCUUUGUCCCACUCUUCUUCAGGAAUUUACAUAAUGAUUCCAUCUUUACUUGUCUUCGUUGGAUGUUCCCAUCCUUUGUUGACAGCUCUCCAGACCUUACUAUCCAGAGACCUCAAGAAGGCUAUCAUACGAGGUUUCCAGUCAUCAUAGUUAGAACCAUCCAACAUGGGUGGUCUAUUUGAGAAUCCUACAUCCUUGUCCAUGGUACUAGAAAGUAACGUCCCUAGAUCUCACCCAGAAAGUAACAUGCAGGGUGCCUGCUCUGAUACCAAUUGAAAUUCUAGUAACAGACUAUCGAUGUCACACUGGAUGUUAUGACAUCCAAUUCUGCGCAGACAGGUAAUGUAUGCAGAAAGUAAAUGUAAAAAGCAGUAAAUGACACAGAGAGUUGUUUACCCAAUUUGGUGACAAACACACCUACUCUGGGGGCUACCAAGCCAGGGAUGAAAUCCACUAUAAGAGGUAUUAAUUCAGGACUUAAACCACCAGUUUAAUCCUAUCACUUAAGACCUACCAAUGCAAUUUCAAUCUAAACUAAGACCUGAGUACCUACUCACUCCCCCUCAAUCACAGCAGUGAUUACAACCAUUAAGAAUUUUAAAGUCAAUGGUGAAAUAUACUUCAAACAACUCUUGAUUGUGCUUAAAAGCUUUAAUCAAGAAACACAGCAUGCACACUUAAAAGCUUAGAGUGACAUAACAAUUACAACUCAAUAGACACCCUAGUCCAAUGCAAUCAUCUAGGUGAUAAUUGCUUGGCUCACAAGUAAAACCUAAUUCAAGACACAGUGAAAGUACAACAAUGAUAUAUAAUGAUAUAUUGAAUUCUUCACGCUUCAAAUCAUUGAGUUGCUGAAAGUAGGAUUGCCAUCCUUUUAUAAUGCAGUACUUGGGCCUUGAACUUGAAUUUCAUAAAAUUAGGGUUAAGCAAGUUAACCUAAUUUCCACACAUUAGGGUGCUAACAAAUAGGCUAUAUGCUAGUCUCUUAAUUUUAGCACAGCUGUUAGUUUCCUGAAAAUCAGCUGAGAUAAAUACUGAAACAUAACAGAAAAAUUAGCUUAUACUUUAGCAUCUGCUGUCAGGGAUGAAUGUCAUAACAUUCAGUUUGACAUCCAGAAAAGUGCUGUCAUGAAUGAAUGUCAUAACAUUUAGUUUGACAUCCAGUAAAUCCUGUAUUAGCUAAUCCUGCAGCAUACUACUUAAGCAUGUCAUGACAUCAGUCAAGACAUCUAAGUACAAUAAGUGUUUUAACAUAAAAUGCAGCCAAUCAAAAAUAUCUACAGCAUGUAACCUUCAUCAUGAUUGGCAAGUUUUGUUAAAGGCUUCUGAUUAUUAAUCUUGGUGAUGCCAUGUUGUUUGUUGUAUUGAGAAGGUUUGGCAAUUGUUUGAUACAAAUUAUGUUAAAGUAUAUGAAAGAGGGUGAAUGCUUUAAAUAGCUAGGGCCUACGCCCCGUACGCAAAGUCAUUCUAGACAAGGAUAGGAGAAACUUUGUCUCAUCAUUCCUCAUAUCUUAAGGCUUAUGGCUUACAAUUUAAAUCGUACUUGUCAAGUGUUGAUACCUUUGUCGUGCUUGAGGAGUAGUCCACUUUGCUAGCUAUGCUUGACUGAUGUUGACUUGAAAUCUUGAUCUUAUACUUGAACCUUGAGGUCUUGAGCUCUUAAGAUUUAGCAUAUCCACAAUAGCUUGAGCGUAAUAAAUUUGUCAUAUCAAGUGAUCAAGGGUAUUUUGAUCACUUGAAAUAGAUUUGAGGUUUACAACAUAAUUACAAAGGAUUUGGUUGACCAAAGCGACCUUUGGUCAACACUAAUCGGUGGGAUUGAAAUGCUAGUUGAACUAUGUACAAAUAUAUCCUAUUGAAUUAAUCAACUACAUAAAAUCAGACAAAACUGAUCAAGGCCCUAAGCUAAGGGAGCAUGCAUAAAAUCAAGAUUUUAUGCCCUAAGGGCAAAGUGGUAAUUAUGUCAAAAAGAAACAAUUAGGAAAAUAAAUUAUAUUUAAGAACUGAUCCUAAUUGUAUUCGAUCAUGCCAAAAUCAGGAUUCCUAAGCCCUAAGGGGAAAAUGGUCAAUAUGUGCAAACUGAUCAAACGGAAACAAAAAUCAAUAUUAUUUAGAAAUUAAUUAGAAAUAAUACGUGAAUAUGAUGAAAAGAAAUCAGGCUAAGUUCUAAAACCUAAAAUUUCUAAAGAUUUUAAUUGAUUAAUUAACAAUUAUAUCUACAAAUCAUAAUUAAUGAAUUAAAUCAAAUUAACUAAUAAAAAUGAUUAACCUAAAUUAUGGUCAUUCUAUUAGCUAACAAACAUGACUAAUUACAUUAAACAAAAAACGAAAUUUAAUUAAGCAAUUUAAUGUGAUUAAACAAAAUAAACAAAAAGGCUUAGAAAGGAGGGGCAGGCCCAUCUAGUGGGGGUGUGUUAAGCAAAAUAAUGGUCUAAUGACAAAUGGGCGCAAAGCCCAUACUCUUGAGCCCAAAUUGCAAACUCCAACUCAGUGAAGGGUGUCCAACUUACAAGGGGGUGCAACGUGAACUUGAAAAAAUUAAUUUGUUUGGGCCAUAUGCCCAAACUAAAUUCCACGUUAAAAAUGUUAAAUGAAAAUUAGAUGUUCGAACUCUCCUCCGAAGGUUUCGAGUGGCGCUUCCAUCGCAUUCGUCACCAUCAACAUCGCAUACGAUCCCAUCAUCAAACUUGUGAUUCAACAUCCCUGCGUCUUCGAUUCCUCUGCUUGCGUUCAUCACCUCCUUCGACCUUGAGCUCAUGUUCAUCAUCGCCUUCGACCUUCAUCGUAGCAUUCUUCAUUGGAGAUUCGAAUCUUUCAUGUAUUGCAGAGUAUCAAUGCACCUCAUAGCGUCGUCUUCGUCUUCUUCUUUGUUCUUCCACGUUGUUGCGCCUCAAGUGAAGAGGCUUACUUCACUCCGUCAAUUUGUGAUCGGUUCCAUUGUACGCAUGCGAAAGCGGGAAGGUGAAAUCAAAAAUCCAAACUUAUCGGAUUUGAAUCUUUGAGUAGGUAUGAAUUAUGAGUCGUGUAUUCGUUCUUCUUCUACGAGAUAUUUCUAAUUCUUCUGUGUGAUUGAUGGCAUUGCAUAUUGGUGCGUAUGUAUUGCUUUUGCGUGUUGCUUCUACUUCUUCUGUGCGAUUUUGAUGCAUUGUUGUUACAGGUCGAAUAAAAGAUGAAGGAUGAAGUAGGAAGUUGAAGGUGAAGUAGAAGAUGAAGAAUGAAGUUUGAAGAAAUCUUGCAGAAUAGAGUUUAGAGAAAAAUCUGCAGAAUCAAGUUUGGAGAAAAAUUUGCAGAAUCAAGUUUGGAGAAAAAAUCUGCAGAAUCACAGUAAGGUAUGCUUAAAUAUAGUUUUGAAAUUUGUUAGAAAUGCAUAAUAAGAUUCACAUGAAAUUCUCCAGUUAGUUACAAUUUCAGAUUCACAUGAAAUGAAAUUGAAAUUGAUUUGGUUUGCAUUUGGUUUUAACUUGAAUUUGAAUUUAGUUCGAGCUGGUUGAAUUGGUUUUAUUAGCCUUGGAUUUCUUUUAGUUAGUUUUCUCCUUAUUCAAUUGGUUCUGUUAUGAAUUUGUCACAGGUUUUGCAGGUUAAAAUCGAUAGUUAUGAAGGACCUUGAAAGUCCUACUGGUGGUCACAAAUUUGUUGGGACAAAGGCUCCAUGGGAAGACUAUAGCAAACAUGCUUUCUACUAUAGUUUAAGUCGGUUGUCUGAGCAUCAGUUUUACAACAAGAGAAAGAAGAGUUUUGGAGGAGAUAACCUGGAGCGUGUUUACUAGUCCCCAACAAAGUUUUCUAUUGAUGAUAAAAUGUUGCACUAUUUUCUAGUUGUAAUACCCCAAAAUUUACCCUUCCAUUUAUCCCUAGAAGCAUGGGUUUGUUUCACAUUGCAUUAGCAUCAUACUAGGUCAUACUCAUUGCAUAUUACAUCAGUGACUUGGGAAAUCAGGGUUUGAUUGAUCACUCCUUAACAGAAGGAGCCCACACAAGGAAAGAUUGAGAAUUGGACUUCAUUUUCUAUGUAUACAAGUCUCAAGGGUCUCAAGGGGUUCCAUAUGUCUUAUUAUUGCCUCAGUUCAUCAGUGGAAGAUUCAGAGCUCCCAGAGUGUGCAUAUGGAUUUAAUCAGGAAACUAGGGUUUCAUGGUUAUCUGCAACAGGCAAUGUUUAGUUGGAAGUAGAGGGGCUCAUCCAUAUCAUGAUUAGAGAGGCAUCUUGGCCUAGGAAUAUUCACAAUUAUCUCAGAAAGAUCCAUUGGCAAUCAGUGCAAUCAGUUCCUGAUCAUUUUGCCCUAAACUAGGGUUUGGUAUAAAAUCAGUAUAUUUUUGAUUCCUUGGGUGAAACUAUUUUCCAUGGCCCCCCAUAUGUCCACAAGGGUCUACAUACAAAAAAUCAGCUCUUUAUUUGAGCUAGAAGUGCUUCAAUUGAUCAAUGGAAUCAGGAAUCAGACAGUUUGGGAAAAGUCAACUGUGGGGCCAGAAAAGUCAACAAAAAAUCAGCUCUUUAUUUGAGCUAGAAGUGCUUCAAUUGAUCAAUGGAAUCAGGAAUCAGACAGUUUGGGAAAAGUCAACUGUGGGGCCAGAAAAGUCAACUCCUGACAUUUUGAGGGUGGAAUAUCAAAAUCCAUGCCUAAGGGAUCCUACAUGUGAAAUUUGAUCAAGUUUGGAUCAUGGAUUCAUCAUUUAAUCAGAAGUUGGAAAAGUUACUAAAUUUGGAAAUAGUUGACUUUCCAUUUAGGGCAAGUUUUCAUGAUUGUUGCACCCACUUUAAGCCCAUUUUCCAUCAAGAUGCAAGCUCCAUUUGAAACUUUCUCCAACAUGGAAGUUGUCCCUCUUGUUCCAAUAUUUCUAGAUAUAUAAAGUUUUCUCCAUUUGGAUUAAAAUUGAGAAAGUUAUGCUUGGUCAAAGUGAGACAUUAUUUUAGGACACUUAGAAAAUUUUCUAAGUCCAAAAUUUGCAAAAUUUGUCAAGACUUCUUGGACAGAUUGCUUGCACUUCAAGGCAUCUUUUGAAAAUACUUUCUUCAUGACAAUUGUACCUUGCCAUGUCCUAUUUCACACCUUUUUGGAAUCAUCCCAUUUGGAUCAUUGGUUUGAGAGAUGCACUCAUCUAAAGUUGGCAUCAUGAAUUGAAUUUUUAGGCAGCAUUUAGGCCAAACUGGCCCAGCCAUUUUGCAGAUGAUGAGACACGAUUUUAUGGCCAUUUUCACCCCUUUCCACUCAUCAUUUCAACUUGUGCCCAACAUGAAAGAUGUUAAGCUCCAUGCACUCUUCCUACU
This 72446-nucleotide long non-coding RNA is filed under the name Lathyrus oleraceus (garden pea). RNAcentral's name for it is "Pisum sativum (pea) long non-coding RNA (PSAT_LNC041730)". The record is from RNAcentral. Lineage: Eukaryota; Viridiplantae; Streptophyta; Magnoliopsida; Fabales; Fabaceae.